UCGUGGGGUGAUUAAUGGUAAUGAUAAUAUUUGCAAUAACAAUGUCGUUUUAGAUUGCACCUCUUUGUUUCCGCCGGUAAAUUUUCCAAAGCCGUAUCAAAUCGUCACAAGCCCACAAUCUUCAGGCAACAUUGUGUUCAAAAGAUUGUUGUUUGAUAGCAAGAAGAUAGCAGCUCUAAAGGAGAAGGUGAAUAAAGAAAUAGGUAAAUUUAAUGAGCUACAAGCAACGCGUUUCGGGGUUGUAUCAGCACUCAUUUGGGGGGCCUUCAUUGCUAUAGCCCGUGAAAGAAAGAGGGCAAUUGACAAUAAGUUGUACUCUCAUGCAAUCUAUUAUACUAUGAAUUUGCGUAACAAGUUGAAUCCACCAAUGAUUCCACAAUGCAUGGGUAACAUUUAUCGGCUUGUAAGGGCAGAAUGGUCACUAGCCAAGGAUGAUGCCAUAGAGGAAACAAGUUUAUUAAGAGAAGUGAUCAAAGCAAAGAGAAUGGGAAGAGAAGUGAUGCAUAAUAAUGAGUACUUAGGUUUCAUAAAGGAUAUGAAAGAAACAUGGGAAGAUUCAAGGUCGUUUGGUUUAACUAGUGUGGUUGGAUUGCCCUGUUAUGAAGUUGAUUUUGGCUGGGGAAAGCCUGUUUGGUUUAGUGUCGGGCCGUUGUUAUUAAUUGAUCUUGCUAUUUUAACGAGCACAAGCGAUGGUGAAGGAAUAGAAGCAUUGAUGGUAAUGUUUAAGGAGGACAUGGAUAAAUUUGAACAGGAACCCAGCAUCAUGGCUUAUGCUUCCUCUAACCCCAGCAUAUUUAUAGGGAAGUAGGAACUUAAUUUUAUUUAUCUUGCUUUGAAUAAAAGAGUUUUUGUUUAUCUUUAACUUGAGUAAUGAUGAUAUGCUUGCAAAGUUGGGAAUGAGUUAUUGUACAAUAAUUGUAUCUUAUUUUCGUCAUAUUUCUUUUAAAUAUAAUCAUGCUGUAGAUAAAUACUUUCUUUCUAGAAAACCAACAACCAUAUUGAUGGUUAGGGAAAAUGAGGGGAAAAAACACUGAAUAUGAUGUAGUUAUAUUGGACAAGCAUAGCUGCAUAAAGAUGAUUUUGAUAUAUUUAAAAUGUGAAUCAACUCUGAAUUUGCCACAUAAUGUCAUUUAGUUUUUUUAUUAAGGAAAAUAUUAUCUAUGACCAAGAGAAUCGAGAAGCUUAGUUUGAGUGUAGUUCAGCAACUAGAAUGGAAGACACAAGAGCUUGCUUUGAGUUGAAUUCAGUAGAAGGAGCCUUGAAGCUUAGCUUGUGGCUUUGAGUUUAGUUUCUUCAGCUGGAUAGGAGAGCCUUAGGAGCUUGCUUUAAGUUUAGUUCAGCAGCUCGGCUGAAAGAGCCCAAAAGUUUGAUUUAAGUUCAAUUGAAGAGAGAGAGAGAGAGAGAGAAUAGUAGUGAAUAGUGAUAGGGAUGAAAUGGUAACGUCACCCAAUCCUAAGUGAUGAUGACAAUCAAAAUAAGUUCUAAUUUGAGUUAUUUGCUAUCACCAAUUGCUAUAAAUUAAUAAGCACUGAUAUUUGAACUCCAUCACAACAAUAUUAAGACAAAAAAUGGGGUAAUGUUCAUGUUAUAGUACCGCUGUAGCACAAAAAACGAAAGCACUGUCCAUCCUUCUACAUGUAAGCUAAACACAUGGUUAAAUACGCAUGAUGAAUAAAGGAUAUCAUUUAUCUCUAAUAUGAAUUUGGAUCUAGUGCUACAUUGAGUUGUGCUGAUUUUUUUUAAUAAUAAUGUAUAAAUAAAAUUUAACUAUGUAUUAUUUUUUAAUCAAAUGAUUACUAAUCAUAUUAUUAUAAAAAGUUCUGGACAAUAUUGAAUUCAAAUCCAUUAAAUAUAAUCCCUAACACUUGUGUUUUUUCGAGGUUAAUUAGGGGUUAAUAAUUUUUUAACCUUAUUAAUUGAUAAGAGUACUAGUAUUUACCUAGAAGAAUUUUUUAAUGCAGUAAUAAACCGACAUUAAAACCAUAUGGAUUGCCGUUAGUUGAAAAAAAUACAUUAAAUCCAUUUGAGAUUGCCGUCAAUUAAAAAAUAAUGGAAAAAAAAACACUUAAAACCAUAUGAUUUUACUGUUGAUUUUGUUACCAUUCUGAAACCUUUAUUGGUAAAUAUCAUUUUUCAAUUGAUCAGUAGCGGUGAUCACCUACUAAUAUCUAUAAAAACAAUCAAACCAUUAUUUGCCUCUUCACACUUCUUGCCGUACUACACUUCUUACACAAAAGUAAACACAUCGCAACUAUACAUCUAAUGGGGUAAACACAUCGCCUUUUAUGAAUAGCAAUCAAACUCAUCAAAGACAACUGCUAUUUAUUCCACCUUAUGAAUCCGCACUUCCAUUCACUUGUCAGAUAAAUUUGUAAAUGAAUAGUAAUAUUUGUUCCCUCAAAUUUAUCUCUUUCACGUAAUCUCAUUUAUUUUUAAGAUAAUUCUUGUAAAAAAAAAGCAGAAAUAAUAAUUAAAAAAAUUCUCUUCUCUGUCGUUUGCCUUUCUCUCAAUCUCUCAUCUGCUGUUAACUUCUAUGCUGUUGGAUCAGAAACAUAUUGAACUUAGAUAAACAUAACAAUGGCAAUUACAAAACAUUCAUAAGAUUAGAGAAAACCCAAGCCAUUUUAAAGCACCAUAACAUAUCUCUGCACCAUAGAAAUUCAAUUGUUCACGAUUCAAAAUAAACACCCUUGGAAGCAGAUAUAUUGGGCUAAAGUCAAAAGCAACAAAUGAGAGAGAAACGAAAAGAAAAUUACAAAAAGAAAAGUUUAUUUUCAUUUCAAAUUUCUUAUAAGGGUAAUUUUGUAAAUAAAUGAGUUUGAUUUAAAGUGAAGCCUGAUAAGAUAAUCUCGAUUUAUUGACUUUAAUGCUAAAAGUCAAAAUACAUUAAUGGCAAAUGGUAGACAAGUAACCGGCCAUUUUAGAACAAGCUCUCUAGGCCACUCUCUUCAAAAUUUUUAUAGGGAAAUUUAUAAAAAUAAUCUUAAAAUUUUUAUAAUUUUUAAAUUUAACCCACCCAAUUUUUUCCUAUCAUAACUAGCCAAACAUCUUAUUUUUUGACUAAAUUAUCCUCAUCAAUUUUGUCAAAUUUACAAAGGUAUGCCACUUGAGAAAUUCCAACACAACUAAAUGCUUUCAACCCUCAAUAACUUAACAAACCUUCAUCACUCCCAACAAACUUAAUCACUCUUAAUAAAUCAAAAAAUUCUAUCAAACAAGCAUUGCAUAAUUGAAGAUAUAAUCAACUACUUGGAGAGCUUCUUAAGGUUAGUGUAUGUUCUUACACUAUAUAAACUUUUAAUAUAUUGAUUUUAUCGACUAAGUUCAAAAUUAAAGUGAAUUUUGCUGCCAAUGUUAUUACUUUUCAUUAAUAAAAACAAAGUGGAUGGUUAAAGUUCUUAGUUUGAGUUGAGAAAUCAAGAUAAAUCAUUGAAAAUACUAAAAACUCGAGUAAAAAAUAAAACCCAAAACAAGUGAGACAUGCUAAUUUAGUGAGAUAGACAGUGGGACAGGUGCUUGUUUCAUAUAAACUCGUUGUGUUUAUGUGCGAUAGACACCUGUCCCACUGCCUGUCGCACAUAACUUGGUGAGACAGGCACCUGUCCCACUUGUUCAACAUGCUUGUCUCACCAAAUUAUGCACAACAUGUAGUGGGAUAGGUGCAUGUCACACAUAAACCCAUUGUGUUUAUGUGAGACAGGCACCUGUCCCACUGCCUGUUUCAUAUAAACACGCUUGUCUCACUAAAUUUCAAAUAUUUUCCGAAAGUCAUAACUUGAGCUACAUGUUUCCGUUUUAGGCUUAUAAUAUACCAUUUCGAAACUUGCGACAAGACAAAUCAAAUGCAACAUCGUAGACUCCAUUCUAUCACAUGGUCGAUUCAAAAAUUUACCUAAACUUAAGUGCGAUAGGCAUCUAUUGCAGCUAAGGGUAUAAUCACAUUAAUUGUGAUUAAUUGUGCAUAAUAUAUUGCUUCGACAAGUGUCCUGUGGUGAAAGAAAAGAAAAAUAUCAGUUAUGGUUUCAAGUUGGUGAUGAUUUGAUACGCUUAUCGAUUGGAGAGCAGUACCUAGUAACGGGACUUUGCUAUGGCAAAGAUGUCGUGCUGAAGAAGCAUAAAACAAUGCACAUGUUACUUAAGAAGUAUUUUGGCAAUAUGUGAACAUGCACGAUAGAUUGUGUUAUUAGACCUCGACGUUGUCUUCAUCGUCAUACUAUAUUCGUUAGGAUUUAUCUAAAAAACUUCAUACACUCAUACUAGAAAUUGAUCAAAAGUACAAUCUUUCUGAACUAAAAAGGUCGUAUUCUUGGCAUUCACGUACUCCAUACGGUCAUCUGCCAACGUCUCCCACCAAUCGCCGUAACAUAAUUGAAGCACAAUUGAAUCCAUUAAACCUAAAAAUUAUUAAGAAAACAAAAGAAAUAAGACUAAAUGAUACAAAAUAUGGUAAAGUGAAUAUGCACCACAUUUAUAUGGAUGUCGUACAUAAUGUGAUUAUGCGCUUAGAUGCAAUAGGUGCCUAUCACACUUAAGUUUAGGCAAAUUUUUGGUUCAACCAUGUGAUAGAAUGGAGUAUACGGUGUUGCAUUUGAUUUGUCUCAUCGCAAGCUUUGAAAUAGUAUAUUAUAUACCUAAAAUGGACACAUGUGACCCAAAUUAUGAAUUUCAAAAAAUAUCUAAAAUUUAGUGAGACAUGUGUGUUUAUGUGAGAUAGGCAGCGGGACAGAUGCCUGUCUCACAUAAACACAGUGGGUUUAUGUGCGACAAGCACUUGUCCCACUGCCUGUCGCACAUAAUUUGGUGAACAUGCAUGUUGAACAAGUGGGACAAGUGUCUGUCUCACCAAGUUAUGUGCGACGGGCAAUGGGACAGGUGCCUGUUGCACAUAAACGCAGCGGGUUUAUGUGAGACAAGCAGCUGUCCCAUUGCCUGUCUUACUAAAUUAGCUUGUCUCACUUGUUAUGUGUUUCAUUUUGUGCUCGUGUUGUUAGUGUUUUCAAUGAUUUAUCUUGAUUUCUCAACUCAAACUAAGAACUUUAACCAUCCACAUUGUUUUAGUAAUGAAAAAUAAUAACAUUGGUAGCAAAACCCACUUUAAUUUCGAACUUAGUUGAUAAAAUCAAUAUAUUAAAAGUUUAUAUAGUGUAAGAGAAUAAACUAACCUUAAGAAGCUUCCCAAGUAGUUAUCUUCAGUUAUGCAAUGCUUGUUUGAUGGAAUUUGUUGAUUUAUUAAGAGUGAUCAAGUUUGUUGAGAGUAAUGAAGAUUUGUUAAGUUGUUGAGCGUUGAAAGCAUUUAAUUGUGUUGGAAUUUAUCAAGUGGCGUGCCUUUGUAAAUUUGAUGAAAGAGAUGAGGAUAAUUUAGUCUAAAAAUAGGGUGUUUGGCUAGUUAUGAUAGAAAAAAAUUGAGCGGGUUAAAUUUAAAAAUUACAAAAAUUUUAAGAUUAUUUCUAUAAAUUUCUCAAAUUUUUAAAUGGCUAUUUUACCGACAUUUGGAAGCAAUGAGUCAAGCUUCCAUAAAUGCACCUUGACUUCAUUUCAUGCAUGAUGGCAUGCAAGACAAAUUUGGCUCCUUUAUUCAUCACGUUGGCAAUUAUCAUGCUCAUUUGGUGGCUUAUAAAAGUCAAGAUUAUCAAGCUCAAAUGGAGGCUAUUUCAGCGGAUUUGAUCCAAAUUAUUUGACAAUUGAAGGCUUACUUUGCCUUUAGACAGAGAGGGGUCUUGGAAAUGGAAGCUAGAGGAGUUGGAGUGUGAGUGCAGUUCUCAAACAAUUUAAGAACUUAGACUGAUUUGUGAGAAGUAAUUCUUUAACAUUUAAAAGAGUUAAAGUGUUCUCGAGUGAUUUGAGAGUUUGGGUGUAUUGAAACUUUAGGUUAUGAGAUAAAUAUUCAAUAUAUGUACUUUAUAUUUUUAUAGUGAAAUAUUCUUUUUUGUCUUCGCUUAUUGAAGUAGACUAAAACACUGAACUACUAAUGUCAUUUGUUUUUUGUUGCGAUAUAUAUAAUCUUGAAUUGUUGCAAUAGAUAAUUUGAGGCAGUCAAAUAUCAUCACUCCUUUGCAAAAAGUAUAAAAAAAUAUAAAAGCACAAAAUAAAGAAUAUUGAUAUUUGAACCCGCAUUUUAUCUCACUAACUCCACCUUUAAUUAACCCCACAAAAAUAAUGAUAUUUAAACCCACAAUGUAUCUCACUAACUCCAGCUUUUGAUUCUCCCCAUUUAUUUCUGGAAUUGCCCUAUUUAUCAAAAUUUUUCCCGAAUUUUUAUUCGCUUAUGAAGCAUCAAGUUUUCGAGGGCAAAAUAUGUUUAUGCUCAUCGUCAUCGAAGGCAACUUCAAUUAAAAGUCAUCAUUUUGUCAACUGCAUCAUAUCUUUUUGUUCAUUCCAGCUAUGACCAUCUAAUUCGGCAACUCCUUCAGCUGCCAUGCAGUUGACCAGAAAUGUAGAUGUUAUUAGCAUACCCACCCGUUGCAUGACUUUGUGAUUGUGAAAAAUCACACUAUAAAAGGCAUGAUCAAACAGUUUCUGACUCAAUCAUCAGCCAUCCAUGGACGAUUGACUUGGCCAGAUAAAUAAUUUUCAGGCUCUGUAGAUAAUGUUUCUGCUUGAACACAAGAAUAUGCAUAAAUCAUUCAUAAAUGAAAAUGUAUUGCUAAAGAGACUAAGGUCCCAUUUGAGAUUACCGUUAAAAUGUUAUAAGCUAUUUAUUUCAUAAGUUUUGAUAAACAAGAAAAAAAAUUCAGUAAAAAUGUGUUCAAUAAAUUUUUAAAAAGCUACUUAUUUCAUAAAUUUCUCCAUUUUGACAAUAAUUUUUAGAAGCAGGUAAAAGGUUGUUUUUCAUAGACUAGUUACUAAAUAAGCCAUCACAUCUUUUUAAAGCUUCUAUUAUAAAUUUAAUAUUUUAACAAAAUGACAACUAUACAAAUAAACGAUAAUCUAAACAUAUGUCUAUUUUUAUCUCGUUUUAAAAUUUACCAAACUCAUAUGAUCUAUUUUUCAAAUUCAUAGCAAUGAUAAUAACACAAUUUACAAAACACCAAGCUAUUAUUUUAAUCAGUAGCUUAUUUUCAUCUACAUAAUAGAAACAACUUAUUUCAUCAGUUAUCGUAAUCCCAAAAUGGCGCUAAGUGCAAGAAAAUGAUUAUUGAUGAAUUAUUUACUUUCCAAAGUUCUGUCGUCUUUUUCUCUUGAAUUUGAACAAGAGUCAGGGGUAAAAAAAUGAUAACUAAGGUAGUUUUGCAAAAAGUGAGGUUUAAUUGAGGGGCUAAAAAAUCAGUAUUCUCACACAUUACACAAUAGAGAUACAAUAAUUUAAUGUGAUUUAUAUUGAAUUGGCUGUAUACUAAUAAUUAGUAAAUUAUAGUUGUUCAAGCGGCAAUUUCAUUGUGUUGUAUAUUAGAAAAUAUCAAGGGAGCAAGAUAAUCAUGUAUGUUUCUCACAUUUACACUUAGGCCCCUAUUUUUUAAAAUUUCUCAGUACAACCCAUAUGUUAAAUAAACUGUAAUACAAAAAAAAAAAUUGUAUUCUUUUCUUAUUAUAAGUUUUGUUCUCAGUCAAAUAUAUAAUUUACACGGUAUUGAGUUGUUGGUCUUUUUCUAUCAUAAGCUCAGUGUCACUAAAGUCAAUGAUGUGGCUUGAUAUUUAGAAAUUAACGCCCAUUGCUCCUAGUUGUAAGUUGUUGGUUUUGUACAUGUUAACAACUCAUUUUCUUUUAACUAAGAAUUUUCAAAUUAAAAAGUAUAAAAGUUGUGUAUAUAAUUAAAAAAUAACGGGUUAUAUUCAUACUAUGAUAGAUGAUAAAUUAUUUUAAAUAUACAUAUACGUGGGUUGUCUAAAGACUAAAGGAGCAAGAGUCUAGCCUAAUAGUAUUGUAGUAAUAAUUUGAGGGGGAAAAACAUUACACUGCCUUGUUAGAUAGAAUUAGGCUAUUGCUUGAGAGAUUGAAGCAACAAGCAUUGUCCUUAAUUCUAGCCAUAAUUCCUAACCGUGCAUGUAGCAUUAUUUAUAAUAAUUAUUUAGUGAGCAUUGUCCAAUAGCCCAGUUCCAUAUUUCGUAUAUUCACUUCACAACUAAUAAAUUCUGUUAACAAGUAACCAUAGAGUAAGAUAUUUGGUAAUUGUCAUGCCACUAGCAUUCUCCUGUGAAUUUCCAAUAAUAGCAUCAUAUCUCGUUAGCGUGGUUUCAAAGAAAUAUUGACAUAGCUAAUCCAAUGUCUUAAAUACUUAAAAUAGCAAAACAAAAAGCUGAUGAUUCCUGCAAACAUCAAUCGAACGACGGAGAAUUUGUUGAAAAUAAAGAGAAUGAAAUAAGGUUUAGGUAGGGAGACAUAUUCAGCGUUACUUCUUGAAGAAUUAUACAACUAAAAAUAUUUUUAAAAAAAGUCGAUAUGAAAAGCAACAAUUACCUAACCCUUAUUAGUUGGCUCUGGACACGCGGAAGUUGUUGACGAGAAUAAUCAGAGAUAAUAGAAACAAAAUUAUAAAUCAAAAUGAUUGGUUAUUGUCUCCAUUUUUAUAAAUCAUUUAAAAUAUUGAUUAAUUGACGUCAAGAUUGAUUGACUCAAAUCUUUAUAAAUGAAAAUAUUACAUCAGUUGUAUAAUUUUAAUUUUUAUUUUUUCAUACAUUGUGUAAAUUCAGCGUUUAUGUUCCUGGAAAUUUAGUUUAUUCAUUUCAUCAAUUGAUUACUCCAGUAUAAACGAAUUAGUUUAAAAUACUUUAGAUUCUUUUAAGCAAUGGACAUAUGGGGCUGUUUGUUUGUUUGUUUUUUCUAACUUCAUGAUUUAAUUGACUUAAUUUCAAUUAAUUAAGUCAUUGAGAGGGCGUUUGUUUUCUAACUUAAUGAUUCAAAGUGACUUAUUAAUUAAGUUAAGUAGAGGGCGUUUGUUUUUAUAACUUAAUUUGAAUUUUUAAAUAAUUUUGACUUAAUUAAAAAAGUUAAUUUUUUUUUGGGUUUUUAUGACUGGAGAAGUUUGAAUCAGCCAAUUGAUUUCUAAUAUUAAAAAUAUCUCUAAUUUAUUAUUUAUUUUUCAUGCUUAUCCUAAAACACACCCAUACAUGUUUAUCUACUAAUAAUCUCAUCUUUAUUUUUUCCAGCUGCUAUGAAAUCCCUCCCUACUUUACUUCUCUCAUCAAGUUCUUGAAUUUCUCAUUAUCGUUAAUAAAAGAUUUUAUUCUUAAAAUUUUUAUGUAAUUAUAUAAUCAGUUUUUAUUAAAAAAGAAAUUUAUAUGUUAUAAUUUCAAAAUAAUUAUAUAUAUAAAGCUUAGGAAAAGGAUACAAAACUCUCUAAUGUCUCAAAAAAGACUUUUAAACUCUAAAUUAUUAAUGGAUUCAAUUUUUUUAAAUAAUUUAAAGGUUAAUAUGAUACAUUCCAUAAUUAAUAAUGGGUGAUGAUAGUUGAUGAAGAAGAAGAAGAUGACAUUGAAUAAGAUGAGCAAUUAGGAAAAAGGAGAUAAUAAACUGAAUUUCAACAGUAAAAUUCCAACCAUUAUAAAUAAGGGUGUGUUUCUAAUUCUAUUAAUAAUUUAUGGGCAAAAUGGAUUAGUCAAUACAAUUACUUGUAUUUUAGAGGAAGAUAAUGGUAAUCAUAAGUUGAAAAUAAUUUUUCUUGUUAAAAUUAACAGAAUCCAUUAACAAAUUGGGGGUAAAUGUUUUUUUAAACGUUAGAGAGUUUUGUAUCCCUUUCUAUAAAGGUUUGGGGUGUAUCAGUCAUUUUCUCUAUUAUUUCCUUGACAUUCGAAUUUAAUAAGGAUACAAAUGUAAAAGUACACAUUUUUAGUUUUUAAGUUAAAAAAAAAACUUAAUACUUUUUCAAAGAUUGAAAAAAAAAUUAUUUAAAUUCAGACAUCCUAGUCUAUUAAAAUUUCAUAGUAGUUCAAGUCUAUUUAAAUUUCAAAUAAAAAAAUUCCAGCUAAAUCCGUUUGUUUUUUCAACAUAAUGAAAAUUUUUAGUUAUUAAGUCAUUAAGUCAUUAAGCCAACUUUUUAACUUUUUGCUAAGCAAAAAAGAUGCCAUUAAAAUAUAUCUUCCAAAAUAUCCCUAUCUAAUUAAUUAAUUUUCAUCCUUACCUACUUACCUAAAUAAAAUUUCAUCCUUACCUAAAUAAAAUUUAAUAAUUAACAUUAUUACCCAUCUCUAUAACUUGUGAUAAUAUAGCGGUAGGUGACUAUUAUUUUUAUCCUUUUAUUUUCUUCAAAUUAGCAUAAUUAAUCUUCAUGAUUUUUUUGAAUAUUUUUUUAUAUAAAAAUAUUAUGAACUACAAUUAAAUUGAUUAACAUGUACUAAUUUAGAGUAUAAAGGGUUGUACUCAAUUAAACAUGAUUUAUGUUAUGGUAGCAUUCUAUUUUAUUUAAGUUCUUUGAGGUGUUUAUUAUUUAUUUAACAUUUUGUAAGGGCACAAAUGUAAAAAUAUCAAUUUUCAAAUUUUGUAAGUUAAAAAAAUAAACGACUUAAUAUUUUUUUUUAGCAAUUCAAACGAAAAAAUAUCAUUCAGAUUCAAACAUCCAAUUCUAUCACAAUUUAUACUAAUUCAGAUUUACUUAAAUUUUAGAGAAAAAAAAAAUACUUGUUUUUACACUUAGAGCUAAUGUAUUGUCAUAAAUAGAAUUCUCACUAAAAAAUCAGGUACAGAUUGAAGAUAUUUAAACUUUAUGUUAAGUCCAUUAUUUAUAGAGUUGACAUUUUAUGGCAAGUCUAAUUAAAUUGGAAGUUUAUUUAUUGCAUAUCUUGUAAUAGGGAUUAAUUUAUUAAUUCCCUAAUUUAGUGAGAUUCCAAUUUAUUAGGAAUGUUUGUUUCUUAAUUUAAUUAAAUGUCUAUUUUAGCAAGUCAAUUAAUAGUGGGAUUCUAUAAUUGGUGCAUGAGAUCUAUUUAGAGUAAGAAGUUGGUUCAAACAGAAAGUCAUUAAAUGCUCUAGAUAUUUCUUAGGAGACAAGUAAGGCAAGAAGAUCAGAUUUAAUCCUAUUCAGAUUCAUGGGAAUUAUAAGAGAAAAGAAACUCUUAUUUGGAAAGAAUCCAAAUCUUUUAAGACUUGCUAUUUUGGUGAAUCCCUAGUGCCUAUAUAAAGAGAGGUAUUUCACAAUUGAAGUUGGAUCGCACAACACAAAGUAUAAAGCAGAGAAGCAAAAUUUGGCCUCCUCCCUAGAGAAUCCGGAUUUGGCGCAUAAUGUUGUGUUGAUUUGUUUUCUUACCUUUUUUUCAUCUAUGUGGAGAGUCUAUGUGGAUCUUGGAUCACUAGACAUUGAAGAAUUAAAUAAUUGCUAUUGAUCACUUUGCGAAGUGCCUUGAAGAUCGUGGAUCAAGAGGGGUAGCAAUUAUUCAAGAGAAGCAGAUUCAUUCUAAGGUUGAGUAAAUUGUAUGGUGAUAAACUGUAAGUGAAAGUCUUAAGUUUGGUAAAUUCAUAGGUUGUAAUAUCUCAACUUAGUGAAUUACUUUUCAUCUUGGCGUGGCCUUGUGGAUGUAGGAUUGAUUAAUCCGAACCACGUAAAAAUCUCCGUGUCAUUUAUUUUCUGCAUUUUAUUGUGUUUUUGAAAAAUUAAUAUUUUCUAUGCGGAUGAACAGUAAUCGGAAACAGUAAACGUAAAUAGUAACUGUGAAUAGUUGCGGUGAACAGUAAUGGUGACCAGUAACAGUGAAAAGUACUUCCGAAAAAAUUAAGUAAUUAAUUUUUUAUUUUUAAUUGCCUACUUCUAUUGUCGAUAGAUCUAAAUUCUUUUCACUUUAGAUUUUGAAAUAUCCAAAGAUUAGAGACCAAAUUUAUUUAUCAUUAAUGGCAUAUAUUAUUAAGCAAUAAUCCUAUGCAAACAACAUCAUCUUAUUUUUAAUGAGUCAAAUGGAAUAGAGCAAUGAGCUUUUCGUCAAAUGGACCAAUCAGAUUAUUCCAAAAUGAACAAUGUAGAUUAAUUAAAUGAGUAAUGAUACAGUCACAAACUCUUAUACAAACUUAUCUUGUACAAACGUAUGUGAUGAGCAUAAUUUAUAUACAUAUUUUACCGUUUAUUAUCUAAUUACUAGUUAUUUUUAUUUGAUAUUUUUUAAUUUAUUGAAUUAUUUUAUUGCAUAAGAAAUUAAUUGGAGAUUGGAAAUAAAAAGUGUAAAAAUAAUAACAAUUUAAGAGAAUAUCAGUUGAAGCCGUGACAGAGUUAAGAGCCAAGAGCAAUUUGCAUUGAAUUUCAAUUCUCCAAUUGAGUUGCACGUGCAUGGCAUUGCAAAAGUGGAAAGCAAUUUAAAUGGGGCCCACACUGGACUUUCAAAAGUGGAAUUAAUGGCUUAUGGUGGCGUUAUUAUGGAAGCUUUGUUUUAUAAUUGGAAAAGGAUUUUAAUUAGUAGACAGAGGAUUCGGUGGCUAAGCAUUAUAAAAAGAGAGUUUUGGCUUUUGAAUGGGGGGCCGCCAGAGGACAAAAACAAAGGUGCAGACGCAAGGCUGGAAGAGAGCAUUCGGCAGCAGCAUCAAUUCGCCUUCCAUGACUGAUUUUAUUUCUUGUAUUGCUCUCAAUUCAAGUAUGUCUAGUUAAUUUUUUUAUACUGAGGUUAAUGAUAAAAUCUUGUUCAAUGAAAUAAUUAUCUUUUUAAUUCCCUAUAUAUGUUCUUUAAUGAUUAUGAUUUUUAUUUCACAUGAUUAAUUGGAUGUUAUUAAAAUCUUUUCAUUAAUUCUGUCAUACAUUAUUGAUUGUUAGGAUUAAUAUUUGAUUAAAUCUAUACUUGGAUUUAUAAAGUUUAUACAUGAUUAUCUUUGAUUCUAUGUCUUUUAUUAAAUUGUUUACAUGGAGUGCUUAGGAAACUUUGACUCUUUGUUAUUCAAUAUGUUUACAUGAGCUUCUUAGAAGUCAUACUAUUAAGCAGAAAAAGAACCUACACAAGAUUAAUUUUAUUUGGGCUUAAUUAUUAUAUCUAUGAGAUGACAUAGAUUGAUUUCAAGUUGUCACUCUAAAAUUGGGGAUUAAUUAAUAAUUAGAUAAUUACUAGUUGAAUAGUGGUGGAUUCUAAAACCUUGGUAAUUUUUGUCUUAUUGAAAUUUCAUUUACUUUAAUUGUUUUCUUAGCUUAAUUAGUUUAAUUUCUCUUAAAACUCAAUUUGCUCAACUAGGUUAGAAUUAAUACUAAUUUUAGAUUUAAAUUAGACUUUAUAACAAUCCAUGUUGGAUCGACCUCGUUACCACUAUUCUAUCUCUAGAUUCGUGCGCUUGCGAGUAUAUUAAAAUUUUCAUAAGUUUUUGGCGCCGUUGCCGGGGAUUGUGCUAGAAAGUCAGUUUAAUCUAGGUUAAUUUGAUUCUUCCACUAGUUAUAAUUUAGGCUGUCUUUUAUUUUAUUUAUUCAAAUUUUUAUUAAAAAAUACAAAAAUUUGUUUAAUUUUGAAUUUAUUGUUUAGUUGUUUGAUUUCUUUUAUUUUAAUUUUGUUUAUUUUAAUUAUUGUUGUUUUAUUUUUCUUCUUUGUCUAGUUAGUUUAUGAGUGUUUGGGAACGUGAUUCAACAAAUUGUUUGGUUAAAAGAGAGUCGAAAAUUGAUAGUAGUCAAGUUAGUUCUUCUCAAGUCAUGGAUGACCUAAAUAGAUUAUUGCCAGUACUACCACCAGUGCAAGCAGAUAAAACCCUUAGAGAAUACUUUUCACCACUUGUGGCCAACCAACCAUCUUGUAUUGUGUUGCCACAAACUACAGCGACACACUUUGAACUUAUGCCCUCAGUCAUUCAACUUAUACCAUCUUUCCAUGGGUUAGAGAGAGAGGAUCCAUAUUUGCACAUUAAGGAAUUUCUUGACAUAUGCUCUACAUUCCGUUUUCAAAUUUUUAAUGAUGAGUCAAUUAGGCUUCAUAUGUUCCCUUUCUCAUUAAAAGACAAAGCAAAAGCUUGGUUGAAUUCGCUUUCUGCUGGGUCUAUUACUACGUGGGAUGAAUUGAAUAAUAAGUUCCUCACCAAGUUUUUCCCUAUGUCUAAAGCAAAUGCCCUUAGGAGAGAGAUGAAUGAUUUUUAUCAAAGAGAGGGUGAGCAAUUUUAUGAGUGUUAGGAAAGAUUUAAUGAUUUACUCCUUAAGUGCCCCCACCAUGGUUUUUAGAAAUGGAGACUUAUACAAUGCUAUAACGAUUUAACCAUGUCGAAUCGUCAUAUGGUAGAGUCUAUGAAUGGUGGGAGAUUUUUGAACCUACAUGAAGGGGCUGCAUGGGAUUUCUUUAAUUCACUUUCUGAGAAUUCUCAACAGUGGAAUUUUUCAAACCAAAGGGAAAAAUCAUCUCAAGUUUCUAGAAAGGGGUUAUAUGAAGUUAAGGAUGAUUUUGACGUGAAAUCCACUCUAGUUACACUUUCUAGAAAAGUAGAUGCCUUAGCUCUGAACCAAUCAAUGAAUCAUCACCCUAGUGUAGCUAAUGAGGUUUGUGCUAUUGGUUCUAACUUGUUUCAUACAAUACAGAAUUGUCCAUCAUUACCAGUCUAUCCAGAGGCUUAUUCUGAGUAGGUACAUGCCUUAGCCCAAACAUAUAUAAAUAGCUAAAGCACAAGUCUGCUGUACGGCCAAGGCGGAUGUACGGUACAGCAGGGAUACACUUCAAAGUUUCAUUCAGUCAACCCAACAAGCUUUUCAGUCAAACACGCAAGCUAUUUUAAAGCUUGAACAUCAAUUGAGUCAAUUAGCAACUACUAUAGCGGAGAGAGAAAAAGAAAAAUUUCCAAAUCAACCAGUUCCUAAUCCUAAAGGAGUGCAUGAAGUUGGAUUAAUGAAAAUACAUCGUGGUAUUAUAGAGGAUGUGUUGAUACAAAUUGACAAAUUUUAUUAUCCUAUUGAUUUUAUUGUUAUCGAUACCCAGCAUGUACAGGAUCCUCAUAAACACACCUCAGCUAUUCUAGGUCGUCAUUUCUUAACUACAACUGAUGCUCAUAUUAGUUACAGGACUGGAAACAUGGAAUUGUCUUUUGGUAACAUGACCAUGGAAUUAAACAUUUUUAAUGUUCCCAAGCAAGCACAAGAAGAUGAUGAAGUUGUUGAAGUACAUAUGAUAGAAGCAUCAAUUGAUGACUCACUUAUUUCUAACCACUGUGACAAUCCAUUAACACCAUGCACAACUAACUCUAAUUUCUCUGUUGAUGUUGACAGUGGUAUUGAAGAAGUUAAUACUUUACUUGAUUCGACUCUUAUUCUAGAUCUAAUUAAGUGGAAAGAAAAGAUUGAGCCACUUCCUCCUAAAGAGAAAAUUGAACCAUUCAAGUUGGAGCUACUUCCUAAAGCAGGUCACAUUCUGACAUGAAAAAUGUGCUAAGAUUUAAAGUGCUUAAAUUGUUAGAUUUUUAUACUACUUCAGAUACCUCGCAGGUAAGCUUGGAACAGAAGAAAUCAAAGAAGUGCGAUAUUAAGGAGUUUCAUUACCAUCAUCCUUUUAUGGAUAAAAUGCUCAAGUGCUUAAUCAAUUAUGCUUUCUGGUAUUUUCUGUAUAAUUGCUUUGAUUUUCACCAAAUUUUUAUUGAUCCUGGUUAAUUCAUUGUUUACAUUAAGUAGUUAGUUAGUAGGAUUUUUUUUAUUUUGUUUUUUUUUAUUUUCUUAUUUAUAUUUCUUGUAACGUGUUAUUUUUAAUUGUCAUUUAGUUUUAAGCUUUCCCAGCCCAUCCAGGUGUGUUCUAUCCAAUUUUCUUUUUUAUUAUUUAUGUUUUUAUUUUUAUUUUUUUAUUUUAUUUUUCAUCUUUUUGCAUGCAUAUCUUUUGUUUUUGAAACAUUGAGGACAAUGUUCCGAAUAAGUUUGGGGGUGGGAAUAGUGUGUUCUUUGUUUGGUUGUUAUUAAAAAAAUAAAAUAAAAUAAAAAAAUUUCAAAAAUUCAAAAAUUCAAAAAAUGUUUUUUUGUUUUUAUGUGAAAAGCCAAUGAUAAAAACUUGAUUGAUAAUGAAUAUGGUUUUUAGAAAGGGUUGAAUAUUGUCUUAGUUUAUACUUGAUUCUUGUGAGUUCCUCUUGAUUGAGAUUCUUUACACAUCAUGAGCACUAAUAUCAGUUCUUUCAUGAUUUUCACUUGAAAUUUGAGAUUGACACAGCCUGAGUUGAGAAUUUUAGAUAGAGUAAAUGACUGUUUGUCUUGAUUCUUAUCUCCACAAUACAAAAUAGCAUACGCAGGUGCCAGAGUCAGAAAUAACCACCUAUAACUCUUAAGAGUGAAGCUAUCCUUGAGUAAUUUGGGCCUAUGUACCACAAGUAUGUAGAGGAUAAUCUACCAUGAGAAGAAGGCUACCUUAAGGGGUAGAGUGAAAGCUCCUAACUAUGGUUAAAAAGAAAAAAGAAAAAAAAAAUCAAGUGCAUGUGCUGAAAAAAAAAAUCAAAAGAAAAUGCACAUAAAAGCAUGUGAAAAAAAAAAUGGAGAUUAAGAUGAUAAGAUCUGUUUGACCUACUCUUUUCUUUGUUUGAGGCGAAGGCUGUUGAUAUUGAAGAUUUUGGGAAUGAAUUUGAUUGAAUUGAUUUCACACACAUACUACAAGAAUCGAAAGAGAGAUGGGAUUGAUUAUUGAAUUAAAGUUAGAACUUUGCCAAUAUUUGAAAUUUUCUUUGAGCUAUAUAAUUUUUGCAAUCUUUAAGGCUAUUUUUCAUGUUUUAUUUAAAGUUUUUUGUUCUUUUAAUUUAAUUUAAUUUUUUUAAAAUGAUGUUUGUGGGUAUCAUCACUGAAGCCCUCACGAGACUAUAACUCGUCCACUGAGGCCGCCUAGGGGUUUAAAGGUUUGUUGCAUACAAUAAAUGCAAUCGCAAUCACCUACGAAAGUGGUUUAGUUAGGAUUUACUUUUUGUUUUGUUAGUUUUAUUUUUGUUUUAAGUUUUAGUUUUGCUCGAGGACUAGCAAAAUCUAAGUUUGAGGGUAUUUAAUGAGCAUAAUUUAUAUACAUAUUUUACUGUUUAUUAUCUAAUUACUAGUUAUUUUUAUUUGUUAUUUUUUAAUUAAUUGAAUUAUUUUAUUGCAUAGGAAAUUAAUUGGAGAUUGGAAAUAAAAAGUGCAAAAAGAAUAACAAUUUGGGAGAAUAUUAAUUGAAGCCGUGACAGAGUUAAGAGCCAAGAGCAAUUUGCAUUGAAUUUCAAUUCUCCAAUUGAGUUGCACGUGCAUGGCAUUGCAAAAGUGGAAAGAAAUUUAAAUGGGGCCCGCACUUGACUUUCAAAAGUAGAAUUAAUGGCUUAUUGUUGCGUUAUUAUGGAAGCUUUGUUUUAUAAUUGGAAAAGGAUUUUAAUUAGUAGACAAAGAGGAUUCGGUGGCUAAGCAUUAUAAAAAGAGAGUUUUGGCUUUUGAAUGGGGGGGCCGCCAGAGGACAAAAACAAAGGUGCAGACGCAAGGUUGGAAGAGAGCAUUCGGCAGCAGCAGCAAUUCGCCUUCCAUGACUGAUUUUAUUUCUUGUGUUGCUCUCAAUUUAAGUAUGUCUAGUUAAUUUUUUUAUACUGAAGUUAAGGAUGAAACCCUAUUCAAUGAAAUAAUUAUUUUUUUAAUUCCCUAUAUAUGUUCUUUAAUAAUUAUAAUUUUUAUUUCACAUGAUUAAUUAGAUGUUAUUAAAAUUUUUUCAUCAAUUAUUAUUAAAAUCUUUUCAUUAAUUCUGUCAUACAUUAUUGAUUGUUAGGAUUAAUAUUUGAUUAAAUCUAUACUUGGAUUUAUAAAGUUUAUACAUGAUUAUCUUUGAUUCUAUGUCUUUUAUUAAAUUGUUUACAUGGAGUGCUUAGGAAAUUUUGACUCUUUGUUAUUCAAUAUGUUUACAUGAGCUUCUUAGAAGUCAUACUAUUAAGCAGAAAAAGAACCUACACAAAAUUAAUUUUAUUUGGGGUUAAUUGUUAUAUCUAUGAGAUGACAUAGAUUGAUUUCGAGUUGUCACUCUAAAAUUGGGGAUUAAUUAAUAAUUAGAUAAUUACUAGUUGAAUAGUGGUGGAUUCUAAAACCUUGGUAAUUUUCGUCUUGUUGAAAUUUCAUUUACUUUAAUUGUUUUCUUAGCUUAAUUAGUUUAAUUUCUCUUAAAACUCAAUUUGCUCAACUAGGUUAGAAUUAAUAUUAAUUUUAGAUUUAAAUUAGACUUUUCAAUUUAUAACAAUCCCUGUGGGAUCGACCUCGUUACCACUAUUCUAUCUCUAGAUUUGUGCGCUUGCGAGUAUAUUAAAAUUUUCACAACAGUCUGUGACAUAAUAAAAUUGGUUGAAUUAAAUAUCUCUUGGCCCACAUGAUUUAUUUUUAUUAUUUUUUAUUUUCAUUCAACCAAUGAAUUAAUACCGCAUCCAUUUGUACAAGAGUUUGUGGCUAUAUCAUCACUCUAAUUAAAUAAUAUUACAAAAUACUAUUUGCUUAAAGGCUUAGAUGGGGAUGAUGGAUGAGAAAUCUCACCCUCUAAAUACCAAUUUUUCUUCCUAUUAUUCAAAUUUAGGUGACCACAGGUCUAUAUUUACAAGCAGCCAAGCUACACCCAAGAGGCUAAUUAAUCUUUUCCUUAAACUCAACUUUUGAAAUUAGUUACCAAUUUCUACUUUCUUGAAUCAUUUUACUUGGUGUUUUAUCAUAUCUUACGAUGCAGUAUCGCCGCUAUAUCUUUUCCCAAAGUUUAAUUUAAUGGAGGAAAUCUGAGAGAUAGAUUCUUCAAAUCUAAUAUUUAUGACAUUAAGCUUUUAAAUUCAAUAUAAAAUCAAAAUUCGCAGUCACCUAUUCUCCACACAAAGCAAAGAAAAAUUUCUAGAGCAAUUUACUUGCUCCAUCUUUUCCCCAGAAUACACAAAAUUCUAUCAAAGAUUUACAAAAUAGACAUGGCAUAAGAACUUCUGUCAUUUGCUCUACCAAAUUUGACAUUUAUCACUAAAGAUUAAUGUGCCUUACAAGGAGCAAAAUCCAUCGAUCUCAAGAAACAUCCCAAUAUUGAGAGAAACAAUAAAUUUAUUUGAGUAAUCGUGCCAUCAUCGACUUAGCGAUAUACCAGAUUCACUUCCAUGGAAAGUCUGUCAAAUUUUGUAGUUGAUUCUCUUCGCUGUCAUCCAGGCCUUUGGAAAUGAAUCAAACGGUGGCUGGGAUUCCAAUGUUUUGACUACAAUGCUGCUCUACUGGGAGCUUGCAUUGUCAACUUUUUUAAUUAUAGCAUGUGUAUAUUUGACUUUAAGUUUUGUGUUUAGAGCAUAUAACAAUCCAUAGGUUGUGAGUCAGAUGUAUAUGUUGUUUGCUUGUGUCAAUACAUACUUAUUUUGAAUGAAAGAGUUGUUAAUUGUUAAUUAUAUUUCUUCUCUCUUGUUUUUUUUUUUUUGUCAUUUUUCCGAUUAAUUUCUUACUAUGUUAAAUGAAAAUAAGGUUUCUUUGAUAUUAAUGUGGAAGUAGGAAUUCUUGAAUAAUUUAUUUGUGAAAUGUUAAUUUUUCAAUUUAUUUUGUUACUUGUAAAGUUAGGAGGUGCGUAAAUGAUAAACUAAUUUUUUAGCCCUUUACCUAAUUAGAAUUUAAAUAAGCAACUUUUGAAUCCUUCACAUACACAUUUAUGUCCUUUUAUAUAAUUCAAAUUUCAGUAAAAGUGUCAAAAGUUUUUUUUUUUUUUGGGUUAAAUUUCACAUCCCAUCCUGUACAUAAACACCAAUUAGAUAAAUUUCUUUUCCAUAAGCCGCAUCUAGUUGACUACAUCACCGAGCCAUUGACCAUGCUAAGAUGUUGACCGGUCAACAAUUGACCAUUGACUUUGAGAGUCAACUUUCACAAAAAAAUUUAAUUUUUUGCUCUAAAUCUCUCCUAAAGUUUUUGAUGUUAUGGAUCUAUACGUGCAUUCAUAAUCUCCAAAUUCUCACUUAAUUUGUGAGUUAUGGAAUGUGUUGUUCCAUGAUCCACAAUUAAAGGGAUCAAAAUGGAGUAUCAAAAUGAUGGCUCUAUUAGGUGCACGUGAUGUAUAGGUGCACGUGAUGUAUGUGAAGUUGUAGAGAAAUGUUUUACUGUACUAGAAGAUGAAGUUACUUUAAUUGCGACACAAAAGAAGAAUUUGAAAGACUUGAAAAUGAAAGAGAAGAAAGAAAAAUAUUUCAUCUUUCAAACAUUAAAUAAAGAUGCUUUUGAACAGAUUUUUCAACGCUACCUCCUUAAAAAAAGUAUGGGAUAAGUUACAGACCUCUUACAAAGGAGAUGAAUAAGUUAAGAAAGUUCAUCUCCAAAUAUUAAAAAAAGAAUUUGAAUCUUUUCAUAUGAAGGUAUCUAAAUCUAUUUCGGAUUAUUUUACCCAAGUUGUGAUUGUUGCUAUGAAACGAUGAGCAACUUCAAGAAAGGUUGCAAGCCUACAAAAAAUAUAUGAAAGAAGAAGCAUGGGAUUGAAGAACAACUCCUCAAGAUGGAAAUCAAUUCGAAGAAGAGAGAAGAAAGCUCCGUCAACAGGAAAAACCAAUAUGUCCAAGUUAGAGGCUAAGGAUAAGGUAGAGGUUGUGGUCAAGGACUAGACAGGAAUUUCAACACCAAUAACUCUAGUUAUGAAAGAGGAGAAUGCUCAAUCAGAAUAUGAGGAAGAGGCAACCCAAGAUUGAGGUAUGACAAAUCCUAAGUAUAGUGCUACAAUUGCUAAAAGUUUGGCCAUUAUGCUUUUGAAUGUUAAGACUCCCAAUAAUAAAGUUGAGGAGAAGAACAAUUAUAUGGAAGAGAAGACUGAAGAGAAUAAAACAAUACUACUAGCAUACUAGGACAAUUAUAGAGGUCACAAGUGCCUAGUAUCUUGAUACUAGUGCGAGCAAUCAUAAAUAUGGAAGAAAAAAUGUGUUCAUGGAGCUAGAUGAAUCAUUAAAUAGCAAUGUAUCAUUCAGAGAUGAUUCCAAAGAAUAGUGAAAAGGAGAGAUAAAAGCCUUAAUUGUUUAAAAAAAAUGGAAGACAUCAAUUUAUUUAAAAUGUUUACUCUACGCCCAAUAUAAAAAGAAACAUCUUGAGCUUAGGUCAACUCUUACAAAAAGGCUAUAAUAUUCACAUGAAAGAUCAUAGUCCUUUUAUAAGAGAUGACAAAAGAAACUUAAUUAUGAAGGUGAAAAUGUCAAAAAAUAGAAUGUUCUCUUUGAAUAUUCAAAAAGAUGAUGUAAAGUGUUUAAAGACUUGUUACGAGGAUGCAUAUGACUUUGGCAUCUUCAAUUUCGGUAUCUCAAUUUUAGAGGAUUGGAGUUACUAUCUAAGAAGAAUAAUAGAAUAUGGUGAAAGUCUUACCAUGUAUUAAUAACCCUGAUCAACUUUGCGAAGGAUGCUUAGUAGAAAAAUAAUUUAAAGAAAGCUUUCAAAAAGAGUCAAACUUAAGGGCAAAAAGGGCGCUCGAGUUUAUUCACUCAAAUAUUUUUGUUCCAAUCAAGCCAAGCUCCCUUGGUAAAAAUAGACACUUCUUUCUCUUCAUAGAUGGUUUUCCAAGAAAAGCUUAGGUAUACUUUUGAGGUAAAAGUCAUAAGUUUUGAAACUUUCAAGAAGUUCAAAACUGUAAUGGAGAAAGAAAGUGGAUACCUAAUUAAAGCCAUAAGAUCUAUCGAGGAGGAGGAUUCACUUCUAAAGAAUUUCAAGGCUUUGUGAAGCAAAUGAAAUUCAACGUCCUUUGACUAUUCCACCACCCCCCAAUAAAGUGGUAUCCCAUAAAGAAAGAAUAGAACCAUUCUCAACAUAUGCAAGAAAUAUGAUGAAAAAUAAGAGACUGCCUAAAUAAUUAUGGGCUAAAGCUGUUACUUGUGCGGUCUACCUAUCUAACAGAUCUUCAACAAGUCUAUGAGACAAUACACCAUAAGAAGCAUAAAAUGGCAUAAGUCAAGCAUCUUCCACUUAAGAGUUUUUAGAAGCAUAGUUCAUGUACAUGUAUCAUACGAGCAAAGAACCAAAUUGGAUGACAAAAGCGAGAAGUUCAUCUUUAUCGACUAUGACAAUAAUUCCAAAGGAUACAAAUUGUAUAGUCCAAACAUAGGAAGAUCAUAAUUAGUGGAGAUGUAAUUUUUUAUUAAAAAAAAUGAGAAUGGGGUUUUAGCUCUCACGUAGAUGGUGUUAUCUUUUUUUUUUUUUUCUCUCUUCAAGAAAACGAACAGAUAAUAGAGGAGCAAGUAGGAGAACAAGAUCAAGAACCCGUUGUUUCACCUACCUCUCCAGUAUCAACCACUCAUGAAGAUCACCACCAUUAUUUUUGGAGGAAAGAGAUGUGACACACACAAGCAUAAACUAUGAUGAGGUGCUUGAUCUUGUUGCCCGAUUGGAAACUAUAAGACUAAUCAUUUCAUUAGCAGCCCAAAAGAAGUGAAAGAUUUUGCAAAUAGAUGUGAAGUCAAUUUUCUUGAAUGGUAGUAACGAGACAUGGCAUCUUUAAAACAAGUUACAGUCAAUUAGAGGGUAUGUGAUCUGAUUAUUGUCAGUAGUAGUAGCAAGAAUAUAAUUUCCAAGAUCAUGGUUGACGAGCUUCUCAUUAAUAAUAUUUAGUAUUUUCUCAAUUGAGACAUUUUUCUCCUUUGUGAGAGCCCUCUUCUUGAGUUUUUAAGAACGUACAGUAGAAUAACAUCUAGUAUCGUUUUCGCGUUGCAUCACCAUCUAUCAUCCUUAAUUCAGGUCCUUCUUCUCACUCAUCAUGAGUCAAUCUUAAUCUUUAGAAAUCACAAUAAACUAUAAUGGAAAUACAAAGCUCAAUAUGUAAACUAUUUUUUCAUAGACCAAAAUACAAACAUAUUUAUAUGUACUGUAAAAGUAUGAUAUGCAAUGCUCUUGGUAAAAAAGAAUUAUUCAAAACUUUGGGUUACUUUCAAACUUUCACACUUCCUUUCAAUGCAUGAUAUGCAAGUCCCUUUGAAAUUAGUCACUUGAAUCGUUUUACAUGAUAUUCUACCCAUAGCUUACAGGCGGAGCAUCAGCACCAGAUAUUUUCCAAAUUAAAUUGUAGGAAAUCUAAGAAGAUAUCACACUUUUAUUAAUUUAAAUUCAAGUUCACUGUCAUUCACUUUCAAAAACCAAAAGACCCUUCACUUUCAACUCUUUACUUGCUUCCUUUUUCUUCCAAUUUUUCUCUUUCUGAAUGGAUUUUCUACAAGUAAAAUUUUCUUUCUCUUCUCUAGAAUGCAAAAAAGUAUAGCGAAGUUUUAAAAAAUGGACAUGGCGGAAAAUUAUUGUCAUUUGCUUCAGCAAAUUUCACAUUUAUUAGUAAAGAUAAGUGCGCCUUCAGUAGAACAUAAAACCCAUUAAUGUCAAGAAUCCAAUAUUUGAGAGUAGCAAUAUAAUUUAUUUGAAAUAAAGGAUGACAUGGACAAACUUGAACCAAACUUAGCAUCAUAGCUUAUGUUCAUUUAUUAUUUAUCUUGUUUUGAAUAGAAAAGAGUUGUUUAUCAAUUAUAUUUCUUUUAUCUUGUUUCUAUGUAAUUUUUCCAAAUAUUUCUUAAGAUGUUAAAACAAAAUUAAAAUUUCCUAAGUUAUUAAUAGGAAAGUACGUAGGAGGACUCGAGUAAUUUCUUUGCGUACAUAUUUUUGCAUAUGCCAAAUUGCAGCAACUAGUGAUCGGUCAUUCUGUUGUGCGCGGAAUGCGGAAUCAAGAGCACCAAACAAUUACAGAAAAAUAAAGGACACAAGAAUUACGUGGUUCGGUAGUUAAACCUACAUCCACGAAGGCAAGAAAGAAUAAUUGUUUAUUUAACAAUUAAUAGAGUACAAAUAUUUGAUUAACGAAUCUCACUUCCCAGAAACCCAAAUAUACCCAAUACUCUCACACUCUGCAAGAAAGAUAAAUUCCCUAGACACACUUCUCUCACUUCUCUCAAAAGCUUAGAAAUUUAUAAGCUUAACAAUUUUGGGAUGAUUUUAAAUGAAUGAAAUCCUGAACUAUUUAUAGGAGAAAUGAAUUACUAUGCAAAGAAUAAAAUAAUUAAAAAUAUAAUUUUUAAUUAUUAUUAUUUUUCAAAUUCAUCCCCUUUGUCAAUUCUUUCUUUUCGGCUACAAAAUCAAUUUUGAUUUUGCUUCUCUACAAUUGUUGGUGCAACCAACAAUUUGUUGACUUCAACACAUUCUUGGUUUUUUUUUUUUUUUUUUUUCCACAAGCAAAGUAACAUGAAUAGACCUGGAGUAAACAAAAUGAUAGUUAGUUAGGGAGAGAUAAUGAACUUCACCCCUUGAAGAAUUAUAUAUUCAACUAAAGCCAAAACAAAAAGAGAAAUUGGUUUCACAUGGAUUCGUUGAUCAUUUUGCGCAAACUCAUUGAAAUUUAUCCAAUUUUAAUACUUCUUGUUACUUGUUGUGUAAGAGCAUGUAUAACGUAUUUAAUAUCUUUGGUGAUCAUUUUGGACAAACUCAUUAAUUAAUUUUAGUCAUUCUUGUUACUUGUUAAUUGUUAUAUAAGAACAUAUGUAAUAUAUUUGGUGUAGGUAAUGAAAAUUAUUAGAUAUAUGCUUUUAUUAUAUAUAAUAAGUAACAAGAAUUAUUAAAAUGAAAUAAAUUUCAAUAAAGAGAAAGGUUUAUAUAAGACAGCCCCCUAAUGUUUUGUCAUCUGACAGUGUAGUGUGUCCCAUAUUAAAUUAAUUAAAUAUAAUAGAUCUUGUUGCGAUCUUUUUGCGAAAAAAGAAUUCUCAAGAGCUCAUCAUAUAUAGUUCCUAAAAAAUUACUAUAUUUGAUAGAUAAGCGUGUCCUAAUUAAGAAAAGAUUUGUAGGAUCAAAUUAAUAAAUAGAGCCACGAUCCUCUUCGCAAUCUAUCGACCAGCUGCAAUCGAGCAGUUUAGAUUUUAAUCACAGCCAUGAUCUCUUCAAGGCUCCUAUGCUGCCUAACAGCGUUACUGAUUCUCCCCUCAUCAUCAAAUGCAGCUGAUCCCGAUCCUCUACAAGACAUCUGUAUCGCAGAUUUGGAUGCCAAAAUCUCUGUGAAUGGCUUCCCUUGCAAAUCUGAAACUGAAGUAACUUCCGAUGAUUUUUUCUUCGAUUUGUCCGAAGAAGGAAACUUGUCAAAUGCCUUCGGACGUGCAGUAACUGAAGGCAAUGUUCAUGAAUUUCCAGGGGUCAACACUCAAGGAAUUUCAACAAAUCGAGUUGACCUUGCUGUUGGUGGAAUCAACCCUCCUCAUUUACAUCCUCGCUCAAGCGAGUCAAGUAUUGUCAUUAGAGGAACAGUGCUCGUAGGAAUCAUAACAACUGACAAUGUGUUUUACUCAAAGGUUGUGACAGCCGGGAUGCUGUUUCUAAUUCCUAGAGGACUGGUUCACUUCCAGCUAAAUGUCGGAAAAGAAAAUGUUCUUUUCUUCCCUUCUUUCAACAGCCAAUUACCUGGCACUCAGUUCGUGCACUCAAGUCUGUUUAAUACAACACCGCCAAUUCCUAAUGAAGUGUUAACCAAAACUUUCCUGGUAGGCGAUGAGGUGAUUAAUGCCAUUAAAGCAGCCAUCACAUCAGCCCAGUUAGGACAUCGGCCCAAAUAGAUUAACGUUCACAAUAAUGCUUGGUCGGGGAAGUUAUUUACUUAAUUAUUUAUAUUGAUUUGAAUAAAAGGAUUGUUUUCUAAUAAGAAUAAUGAUUGGGUUAUAAAGUUUGUAUUCUAACUUGUGUGUCGCCUUGUUUGAUAAGAAUAAUGAUAGGCUUUAUCUUAUAGAGCCGUAUAAUGAUUAGUUACUUAGCCUUAUCCGUGAUUCUAUUUGUAUAUUUCCACAUCUAUUUGUAUUCCAACUUUGUAAGUGUAUCACUGAUCUUCUAUCUGUAUUCUUCUUUUUCAUUUCUUUGUAAUUUCAUCUAUCUUUAAAAGUUUAUGCCAACUUGAUAUUGCUGUAAUUUUUAAAAUAAUUAGUUAUGAAUAGAUUCAAUAAUUUAUUUUUGUAUCAGUCAGAUUCAAUACCAUGGCCCCUAAGCACCUAUUCAAGCCCAUUAAACAUACACUACUCAUAAUCAUCAUUAUUCUUAGAGCUUAAAGAGUAAUGAUAUUUGAACCAAAGGAUUCUACAUAAUGGCGACAAACAAUUGUAAAAUCACAUGGUGUUAUGAUGUUAAGCAAAUAAUUAACAUUGUUUUUCAAUUAAAACUAUAAAACCGUAUAAUUCUAGCAUUGAUUUUUUUUCUCAUUAUGUCACCAUUAGGGCUUUUAUUACUUUUAGAACUUAAAACUAUUCCAAAUUCACUAAAUAAUCAAUCUUUUUUUCUGCAUUAGCUUAUGAAACGAUGGACGAUGGACGAGAUUCAAUUGUUCCCAUUACAAAAGCUGCUCUGGUGGCAGCUGCAUUACCAGAUUUUGAGCUAAACUUCAAACUUAUGUACUAGAUGAUUUUAAUUUGAUGCAAUACAUAUUUUUACUUCUAAUUUAGUUGUAAGAUGUAAUUAGAUGUGAGUUGGGUUGUUGGGUUAAGUUGAAUAUCUAGGAGUGAUGUAAUUAGAUGUGAGUUGGGUUAAGUUGAAUAUCUAGGAGUGUGUGUGUGUGUGUGUAUGUGUUGUAUUUUGAAUUAUUUUCAAGUUUAUUGUUCUAAGGAAGACAUGGACAAAUUUAAACAAACCGUUAGCAUCAUCGCUUAUGUCCAUUUACUUAUUUCUCCUGUUUUGAAUAAAUUAAAAGAGUUAUUCACUUGUUUGUUAAUUAUAUUUCUCCUUUCUUAUUUCUGAGUCAUUUUUCUGAAUAAUUUCUUCAUAUGUUUAAAUAAAAUUAACAUUCCCUAAGAUACUAAUGGAAAAGAUGUCUUGGAUAAUUCGUUUGCGAAUACAUUUAUCCAUUAGAUACAUAUUACAAAUUGCGGCAAAUAGUUAUCUUUCUUUCUUUCUUUUUUAUUUUCUGCUGUACCGUACAUCCGCCUUGGCCGUACAGCAGUGUUUUUAUAACUUAAUUUGAAUUUUUAAAUAAUUUUGACUUAAUUAAAAAAGUUAAUUUUUUUUUGGGUUUUUAUGACUGGAGAAGUUUGAAUCAGCCAAUUGAUUUCUAAUAUUAAAAAUAUCUCUAAUUUAUUAUUUAUUUUUCAUGCUUAUCCUAAAACACACCCAUACAUGUUUAUCUACUAAUAAUCUCAUCUUUAUUUUUUCCAGCUGCUAUGAAAUCCCUCCCUACUUUACUUCUCUCAUCAAGUUCUUGAAUUUCUCAUUAUCGUUAAUAAAAGAUUUUAUUCUUAAAAUUUUUAUGUAAUUAUAUAAUCAGUUUUUAUUAAAAAAGAAAUUUAUAUGUUAUAAUUUCAAAAUAAUUAUAUAUAUAAAGCUUAGGAAAAGGAUACAAAACUCUCUAAUGUCUCAAAAAAGACUUUUAAACUCUAAAUUAUUAAUGGAUUCAAUUUUUUUAAAUAAUUUAAAGGUUAAUAUGAUACAUUCCAUAAUUAAUAAUGGGUGAUGAUAGUUGAUGAAGAAGAAGAAGAUGACAUUGAAUAAGAUGAGCAAUUAGGAAAAAGGAGAUAAUAAACUGAAUUUCAACAGUAAAAUUCCAACCAUUAUAAAUAAGGGUGUGUUUCUAAUUCUAUUAAUAAUUUAUGGGCAAAAUGGAUUAGUCAAUACAAUUACUUGUAUUUUAGAGGAAGAUAAUGGUAAUCAUAAGUUGAAAAUAAUUUUUCUUGUUAAAAUUAACAGAAUCCAUUAACAAAUUGGGGGUAAAUGUUUUUUUAAACGUUAGAGAGUUUUGUAUCCCUUUCUAUAAAGGUUUGGGGUGUAUCAGUCAUUUUCUCUAUUAUUUCCUUGACAUUCGAAUUUAAUAAGGAUACAAAUGUAAAAGUACACAUUUUUAGUUUUUAAGUUAAAAAAAAAACUUAAUACUUUUUCAAAGAUUGAAAAAAAAAUUAUUUAAAUUCAGACAUCCUAGUCUAUUAAAAUUUCAUAGUAGUUCAAGUCUAUUUAAAUUUCAAAUAAAAAAAUUCCAGCUAAAUCCGUUUGUUUUUUCAACAUAAUGAAAAUUUUUAGUUAUUAAGUCAUUAAGUCAUUAAGCCAACUUUUUAACUUUUUGCUAAGCAAAAAAGAUGCCAUUAAAAUAUAUCUUCCAAAAUAUCCCUAUCUAAUUAAUUAAUUUUCAUCCUUACCUAAAUAAAAUUUAAUAAUUAACAUUAUUACCCAUCUCUAUAACUUGUGAUAAUAUAGCGGUAGGUGACUAUUAUUUUUAUCCUUUUAUUUUCUUCAAAUUAGCAUAAUUAAUCUUCAUGAUUUUUUUGAAUAUUUUUUUAUAUAAAAAUAUUAUGAACUACAAUUAAAUUGAUUAACAUGUAUAAUGGAAAAGAUGUCUUGGAUAAUUCGUUUGCGAAUACAUUUAUCCAUUAGAUACAUAUUACAAAUUGCGGCAAAUAGUUAUCUUUCUUUCUUUCUUUUUUAUUUUUUUCAGAGCAACUCAACAUUAAUAGAACAACAUUGAACCAAAUAACGCUUAGGUAGGGAGACAUACCGGGCAUCACCACCACAAAUCCUUCCACCCCGUACCCUAAUACCAUCCCCAAGCCAUCAUAUGCUUCUGCAGUCAACCCUGUGUCCAUCGUUGACCCUAAUGUUGCCUCUAGGCUCUUUAAAUCCUUUGUUGAUGUUUGUUACAAUUUCAUCUUCGCCUUCUUUUUCUGUGAAGAUGGGCACCUUUCAUCGAGGCGAACCUGCUAUACAUUUUAAAGAAUUAGCAGUGCAGAUUAAUUAACUAGUUUCUUAAGAUAGUUGAAACAAGCAUAACCCUCGCAAUAUAUAUAUAUAUAUAGCCGUAUGUUCAUAAUCGAUCAUUCUAUUAAAAAAAUUUCAAUACUUCUAUUUUCUUUUUACUUCAUGGAGUCUUAUUACAGUAGAUACAAAUUAAUUUUCAAUUAGUGAAAUAAUUUUCAAUUAAUGGAAAAGAUGUCUUGGAUAAUUCGUUUGCGAAUACAUUUAUCCAUUAGAUACAUAUUACAAAUUGCGGCAAAUAGUUAUCUUUCUUUCUUUCUUUUUUAUUUUUUUCAGAGCAACUCAACAUUAAUAGAACAACAUUGAACCAAAUAACGCUUAGGUAGGGAGACAUACCGGGCAUCACCACCACAAAUCCUUCCACCCCGUACCCUAAUACCAUCCCCAAGCCAUCAUAUGCUUCUGCAGUCAACCCUGUGUCCAUCGUUGACCCUAAUGUUGCCUCUAGGCUCUUUAAAUCCUUUGUUGAUGUUUGUUACAAUUUCAUCUUCGCCUUCUUUUUCUGUGAAGAUGGGCACCUUUCAUCGAGGCGAACCUGCUAUACAUUUUAAAGAAUUAGCAGUGCAGAUUAAUUAACUAGUUUCUUAAGAUAGUUGAAACAAGCAUAACCCUCGCAAUAUAUAUAUAUAUAUAUAGCCGUAUGUUCAUAAUCGAUCAUUCUAUUAAAAAAAUUUCAAUACUUCUAUUUUCUUUUUACUUCAUGGAGUCUUAUUACAGUAGAUACAAAUUAAUUUUCAAUUAGUGAAAUAAAGUGGCGCAAGAGAUUUGAUGUUAGUACGGUCCCGCCACAGAUUGAAAAAUACUAAAGUUCAUUUUUUUAAUUAAAAAAAACAACAAUUUCAAUUGUGCUCAAGACUAAAAUAUUAAAUCGAAUCGAUUUGCAUAAAAUUAAUUAGGGUAAUUUAAUUCUAUUUAUGUUAAAAUUAUCCACUUCAUGAAAUUAAUUAUUAAUUUUUACACUGGUCGAAUCAUUUUGCAUGAUGUUCUACCAUAGGUUACGACGGACCGUGACCGCCAGAUCUUUUCCUAACUAAAGUGGAAAUUUAAUGAAGGAAAUCUACGAAUAUGAAAUUUCUAUGACAUUAAUUAAAGUUCAACUUCAAUAUAAAUUCAAGUUCAGAGAAGUUUGCUCUCCAAAACCAGAAACCAAAAACAAAACAAAAAAAUUCACAUAUAUCGAUAAAGCUAAAUGUGCACUUGCUUAGAGCAAAAAACCCAUUAAUCUCAAAAAAAUACUCCUUCAUUCAGAGAGACAAUAAUUUAUUUGAGUACCAGAAUUUCAAAUAUGGAUGUUGUAGGCUCUCCCCUCCCUCGUGUUUUGUUCAAUUUUUUUUUUUUUUUUGUAACAAUAAUUUUUUAUCUUUAAUCUUCAUCUUAAAGCCAUUAUGCUUGAUGACUCGUUCAUGUCAUUUUCUUCAGCCUUUACAAAGGUUGUUUCCCCGUUUGUUAGUUGCUGUUACUUGCCCAGCUGGAUUCCCGCCAAUACCAACAACCGUAUAUGCCUUUCUCACGUGCCAAGCAUGCGAAAUUUAAGUGAACCCAAAACGACAACAGGCUUGUGUCGUUUUGAUUAUAUUUGGUUUAUGAUAUCACGUGACAACACACAUGACUUUCGAACCACUUGUGGAUGACAUCCUCGAUAUUGUCGGUUGUCAGGCUUCAACACACUAGACAACAUGUACUGUCUUCGGAGUUCCGCAAAUACUAAACCAUUUUUUUUUUUGAAUGGGCAAAUACUAACUUAAUUAUGUGGCAUCCUUACGGAAAACUCUUUAGAAUUAUUGGAGAAUUUUAAUCCCGCCCAAGAUUCCAUAAAUAAAAAAUACCAAAUAAAUAAUAAGUAAAAUUAGACGGAGAAUAAAACUAGUCACACAACACAAGAAUUUACGUGGAAAUUUCUAUACUGAAGAAAAACUACGGCCACCAAGGAUGACGAGAGAAAAAUAUACUAUGUAAAAAAUUAUUACGAUCAUUCUAGUAUUUUUUCUCACACCAAAAACGCCAAUAACACUCAAUCUUUCAAUAGUUUUAUUGUUUCUCACACACAAGAAACUGUUUACUUGCAGAGAAUUAAUUGUUGUGUUAUAUAAAUAAGUGAACUCAACCUCCCUAUAUAUAGUGAUUAUUUAUUGUAGGAGAAAUAUUAUUUUUUUUAUACUAGUUAUAUUCCUCCUUAAAUAAGACAAGUCCCAAAGAAAAAAUUACUUAUUAUUUAAAUAGAAAUCCUACCAAAAAAAGGAAAAUAUCCUAAAAAAUCCUUAUUGAAAAAUAAGAUAUAUUUCCUGUUUGGUAACGGAUAAAAGGAGGAAAAAAGGGAGAGUGGGGGCAUGACUUUUAUCUCAUCCAUAACUUCCGAAAAGUGGGAGAGAACAAGGGGGGAAAGAGGGGAGUGGGGAGUUACCUAGGGGGGAUUUUAUUUAUUUUUUCUCUCUUCUCCGGGGGGUGUUUUUUGGGCUCUCUUCCUCUCAUGGAAAUUUCUUGCUUUUACACUAUACUUUACUUUCUGUAAAUUACUCGAAAAGCUUUGGGUUUGAAGGCAAUGCUUAUUAAGCCACAUGAGUGGUGGCACAAAUUUUUCCGAAAGGCCUAGAAACUGACUUGAGCGUCGGAGGCUUCACGCCGGAAAAACUUCCGGCGCCUCUGACCGUCUUCUAUGAUUUCCGGUAUUCACAGAUUAAUCGCCGGUGGUUGCAGGACAUCUAGACGAUUGACCAAUCGAUUCUCUACCAAAUAAAUCUAAAGUUGAUGCGGGAGUUUGGUAUCAAGUCGCUAACCGACUCAAUCGGAUUUCGACAUCAACAUUUGGCGCCGUCUGUGGGGAUCGAUACAAGAAGCCAAUUUGUUAUCUCUAUCAACUUUCAUCUAGCCAAAGCGAAGGCAAAAUAUUAUCAUGUGUGAAUUGAAGCAACCUGUCUUUUAUUUCUGAACUCACGUGAAAGAAGCAAAGCGAAUCGGUAAAAAACUAACCCAAUGUUGGCAUUUAGAAGCUUCAGAUCGGUAAAAUCUGUCACAGAUUCAUCUCCACUUGUAUUUCCAAUUAAAUUACUGCAAUUACUUUCAAUUUAUUUGUUUGUGUGCAUGAUAUAUUGCAUCAAAUGAUCAAUUGUGAUUUGGCUUUCAUGAGCAUGAGAAAUUGAUUAUAGAGGAUAGAUUUAAAAAAUACAUAUACUGAAUAUAUGAAAUCAUAUCACAAACUAGUGGCCACAUGCUUGUUGGUUUAUAGUCAAUUGCUGAUCAUGUGCUUACCAUUAAAGUCUUGCACGCAUACAAGUUUAGAUAUUAAGAUUUUAACCACUUUCCCAAUCGGAUUAUGCCACGGUUUCAGCAUGCAUUUUGAUGGGUUUAAUCAUUUCGAAUGAUAUUUAAUUACUAAUUGGAUGCAGAGAUGUGUCAGAUUGUAAUUUCAGAAACAGGUUUCAGAUGAUAUUUGUUAAAAGUGGUGAUACGAGAUCACGCACAGUAAGCGUUAGACAAAAUGAUUGAUAGAAUAAAAAAAAAAAUCGCAGCCUCAAAUUGUAAAGAGCAAGCUUAGGACUCUACAUAGGAACAAUCAAGAUGGUGAGAUUAAUUGGACUGGAAAACAAAGGCUGCAACUGAAAUUACAGGGAGUGACGCUCAAUAGAACAUUGCGCAAGAGCAAAGGACUAAAAUCCAAAAUAAUUCUAAGAAGGGAGCAAAGCAGAGUCAAGCUCGGGAUUUGUUUGAUGACGUACCAAUGAAAUAAUGCAGAGCACAAUCUCAGGUGCACUUGUUCUAAAACCUCAGUUUUAUAUUUAUCCUUUAAAUCCGCUACCUGACUUCAAAAAUCUGAUGGAUGGGGUUUUGACUUAUUAAGUCGUUAAUAAAAAAUAGUUAAGAUUGCAUAUUAUAGAAUAUAUAGCAUAGUCAUAUNNNNNNNNNNNNNNNNNNNNNNNNNNNNNNNNNNNNNNNNNNNNNNNNNNNNNNNNNNNNNNNNNNNNNNNNNNNNNNNNNNNNNNNNAAAGGCCCAAACAUAUAUAAAUAGCUAACCUUGGCCGUACAGCAGUGAGCUAUUUUCUGGACAAGUUAUACGUUAUAGGUCAGAAAUUAAAUUUUUGAUAGUUUAUUACAGCUGAUCAAUUUGCAGAGCAAAUCCAUAUUUAAGGAUUUAAAGAAAAAAACCUCAAAUAAGAGCACAUCGAAGGCACACAUUUAUAGGAAUCAGAACAGGUCAGAAGUUAUAUUUUGAUUUACAAGCAGUUUUUUCUAUGAAAAUUUAAUUGUUUCUCUAAAUUCUGCUAUAUGCGAUGAGGAUACCUUAUAUUCAUUAAAUUGAUUGCGCUCAUAUUAGGGCUGACGGUAUAACUUAGUUAACUUGAUUUCUUGAAAGUUACUCAAUAUGAGAAUAAUUUAAGAAAUGAGAGCUAGGCUAGCGUUGAGAAGCCAAUCAAAGUUUACUAAUAAGGCAUGCAAAGGCUCACCAAGUCUCAAAGUCUAUUUUAUGGCGAGACCAGAAGCCAAGUGUGCCAGGAUUUACUCGACCAAGCGAAGGCAAGCAGACCCUCAAGUAUUAUAAAAAUUCCUAAGGCAUGCAAAGGCUCACCAAGUCUCAAAGCCUGUUUUAUGGCGAGACUAGAAGCCAAGCGUGCCAGGAUCUGCUCGACCAAGCUAAAGUGAGCAGACCUUUAAGUGUUAUAAAAAUUUCUAAGGCAAGUAAAGGCUCCAAAGUCUCAAAACCUGCUCAAUGGCGAGAUAAAAAGUCAAGCUUGCUAGAAUUUGCCCGACCAUGUGAAGCCGAGCAAAAAAAAAAAAUUUACAACUUCUAUACCAGAAGACAAGUAAGAACAUUCUUAUUAAUAUGCCAACAGUUCGUAAAGUUAUUCAUCAUAACAGACAAUGUCCAAAAAAUAGGAAAAGGCAACUACAACACAAAACAUGUUUAAGAAGACGGCGGCUCAGUAAGCCGAGAAGCCUCAGUUGGCUGGUCCACCUCAGGUGCUGGGGGAGUAUCACCAGUUGCGUCCGGGGGGGCACUCGCCUCGCCAACAUCAACAGGGAUUGCACGAGGAGGAGAGUUUUCCUCCUCGACCAUAAUUGGCUCCACCACUUCGGCAUCCUCUUUCGCCGCCUCCUCAUCCAUGUGUUGAGCAACACCAGCUGCAAGGUCAUCCAUUUGCAGAUCAGGGUGCUACUUCCCAAGGACAACCAUGAUGCAACGAUAAGAAUGCCGAAGUCCUUGGUCGUAUUGGUUGUCAGCUUCAUUCUCCAAGUUCUCGUCCUAAGCCCGGUAGGAAUCGCGGAGAGAUUCGAGCUGAGCCUCGUACAUAACCUUCUGCCUUUGCAGAUCCUCCUUGACCUUGGUUAGCUCUUCCUCGAGAGUAAUAGCCUUUGCUUAAGCAAGAGAUUCUCACUCUAUCAGCUUCAGAUUCUCGAGAUUCAAGUCUCCUACUUUCUUCUCGGCAACGUCGGCUCUGGUCAUCGCCGAUUGAAUGUCCUCCUUCAUCUUCCAGUCAUAACGGCCAACCUUGACCUUAUAGUAAGUGGUCAUGCAGCUGAGAUGGAAAUCGCUAUACUGCAUGGCCCCCACCAGCUCACCCAGGGUGCAGCCAUCAAAGUCCUCCAGGUCCUUCUUACUUACAAGUUUAGAUAACUCGUUGAGAUAGGGGACCAAGUGUUCUGCUCGGUUGUCAGAUAAACGAGAUCUAGGCCUGACAGGAGGAGAAGAGGAAGCAGGAUCAGUGGCUGCUCCACUAGUUUCUCCGACUUUGGCAGGAGGAGGAGGUAGAGUCUUCAAGGGAGGAACCUGCUGCACAAUGUUCACCCGCUUCGCAGUAAGAGUGUUCUUGUUCUGGUCUCUCUUUGCAGUUUGAGGUCGAGAACGUUUCCAAUUCAGAGCCCCGAUCACAACAUCCUCCAUCUUAUGGCCGGGGGGCACCAAGCAAGAUUCAACCAGGUUAUAACGUGGUUAGCAGCUCCUAGUGUGAGCAAGAAUUGGCCAGCACAGCCUCGACCUGUUUGAGCUGGUCGGGAUUAAGCGGGAAGUGAACACCCCAAGAACCUGUAAAACGAACAGACAUUUGGUUAGAGACAAAUCAACAAAGUGAGAACAACUAUGGAGACAAGUCAUUUAAAAUGAGCAGGCAACCUGGAACCACGAAACGGGGUGGGACGCGAUAAUCUUUCCCAUCAAUCUGUGCAACUUGACCCCAGGGACCCCCUUAUAAAAAUUCCUAAGGCAUGCAAAGGCUCACUAAGUCUCAAAGCUUGUUUUAUAGUGAGACCAGAAGCCAAGCGUGCCAAGAUAUGCUCGACCAAGUAAAGGCGAGCAGACCCUUAAGUGUUAUAAAAAUUCCUAAGGCAUGCAAAGGCUCACUAGAAGCCAAGCAUGCCAAGAUCUGCUCGACCAAGCGAAGGCGAGCAGACUACAAAAGUUUCAGAAAUCUUCCAAGGCAUGCAAAGGCUCCAAAGUCUCAAAGUCUAUUUUAUGGCAGGACAGAAAGCGAAGCAUGCCAGGAUCUGUUUGACCAAGCGAAGGCGAGCAGACUACAAAAGUUCUAAAAAUCUCCUAAGGCAUGGAAAAGCUCCACAAGUCUCAAAGCCUCCUCGAUGGCGAGACAGGAAGCCAAGCUUGCCAGAAUCUGCUCGACCAUGUGAAGCCGAGCAAACAAUGAAAAUUUCAAAAAGUUUCUAAGGCAAGUAAAUGCUCCAAAGUCUCAAAGCCUGCUCGAUGGCGAGAUAAGAAGUCAAGCUUGCUAGAAUCUGCCCGACCAUGUGAAGCCAAGCAGAAAGAAAAAAAAAAGGUACUACAAGUAAAAGGCUUACAGUCUCCAAACCUCCUCGCAGUGAAACGAAGUCAAAGUUCUCUCUUGCCCGACUAAGAUUAUGCGAGCAAGAGUUAUAUGAGCGAAAAAUGUUCUAAAGCAGAUAAAUGACUAAGUCUUAAAACUUACUUGAAAUGAGAUAAAUACCUAAACUUAUGAAACCUGCUUUACAUGAUUAUGUGAGUAGGAAAAUGGUAUAUUUAAAGGCAUGUAAAAGUUUAAAACUUGAAACUUUUUUGUUAAGGGCAAGGUUAAUUUAAGCAAUCCCGAGCCGAUUUAUGGCAACCACCUCGAGUUCACUUUAAAAUUUAUAUAGUUUCCAGUCUUGAUUCGUUAAAGCUCUCAACACUAGAAACUGGGGGACUGGUGUUUGGUAACGGAUAAAAGGAGGAAAAAAGGGAGAGUGGGGGCAUGGCUUUUAUCUCAUCCAUAACUCGAUGUGUUGGUGAUUGGAUAUUGUAAAGGAUUUAUUAGAUAUUGUAUACGGAUUUGAUUCACCAUAUAUUUUGUGAUGCUAUUUGUUGGAAGUUUCAAGUGAUUGAAAUUUUUAGCGCAUCACACUAUUUGGUAUUUGAUAGUUUUUAUGAAUUUGAAUGUAAUUUUUAUUUCAAUUAAUUCAAGUUUUAAAUGUGGUUUUUGUUGUUUUUAUUUCAAAAUUCUGGAAUUUAAAUAAUAAUAAUUAAUAUUAUUAUAAUUUCAAAAUUAAAAAUAAUAAUUUUAUUCUUUUUUAAACUUUAAAUCUCAUGACAAAGAAUGUGAAUCAUUGAUAUAUGACAGCUUUUGAAGAAACCCAUCAAAUUCAAAAUAAUUUAAAUACCUGCUAAAAUUUCCAAUUAAUUCUCGAAAGUCUUUCAAAACGACGUCGCUUGGUUCGUGAUACAUGUGUGAUAAAUAUACAUUGUCAUGGGAACAUGUGAUAGAUAAAAUGUUGUCACAGAUUUGUGAGACGGGCUACAAUGACAGAUGGAAACUCUGUCAUAAGAGGGGUCGGAUGAUAGAUAUUCUCUGUCAUGGUAGCCCAUUUUUCUAGUAGUGUUCAAAUAGAAAAAUUAGUACGUUGUCAAUAUAAUUGUCUUAUAUAUGAUGCCAACAAUGAAACUAAACAAUCAUUCCCUUUAGCAUCCUUUUGGAAAAAUCUCUAUAACAAAUUGGAACAUUUUAAAAACUCAAAUCUUCAUAAAAAGUGGAGUGAGGAGUACCAUUAAUGAGUAAGUCCUGUGUUCGCACUUACAAAUACAAACACAAAGAUUAAAAUAAAUUUGAUCACUCACUAAUUGGAGUAUUUAUGUUAAACUUAUAGUUAUGUUUGGCCCUAAAAGUAUGCAAUAAAAUAACAUCAUUUUCAUAUACAAAAUUUUAUUUAUUCAUUGUUUAUUUUGACCGAACAUUAUUAGACUUAGUUUAUGAAGCAUGUAUUUUAUAUAUUGAUAAUUCUGCUGUACGGCCAAGGCGGAUGUACGGUACAGCAGGCCUAUCUAUCUUUUUUUGGUUUUUGUAUAUAUAUAACUCAUGAGAUUUAUAAUUUUUCAUUAUCAUGUUAACCCCUGGUCUGGACUGUCCUAAUAUUUAAACUUCUUUCCACCAUUUUCAAUUCUUAAAUUGACCAAUAUUUAUCUCAAUGUGUCCCUUUACUUGCCCAUUGAAUUUUGCAUCAAGGAUCUGAUGUGGUAGAAGAGAAGCUAACAAUUUAUGCGCUCGACAAUGUCUUUGCCUUUUGAAUUGAUUGAGAGAUCAUCAUUUCUUCACCCACUGGAAACUUUAGAUUAUGCUUUACGCUUUGGGCUUAUACUGGCAAGCCUACAAUCAUGGUAUUAAAGUUGGUAGAUUGAGGAGAUUCUGGUGAUUCCAGAAUUUUCUACAUUUUCUCUUUAUCUUUUGGAUUUUUAGAACUUUUUCCUUUCUUUUUAUUAGCUUGAUUUUGAUGGAUUUUAUUUAAUUAUAUAUGGAAGGUUAGAUGUUGUGCAUUAAUUAAAUUAUAGUCUUGAAAAAAUACUCUUUAAAAAAAUUCAUCUAGAAAUUUAGAAUUGAAAUCUGUCGAAGGCUAGACUAAAAGUUCUCUUCUCGUCUUUGGCAUUGCACUUGGUUUUAUAUUUCUCUUUACUAUGUACUCUGUUGCAAAAUAUUUUGUUUAUACUUAAUCUUUUAUAAUCCAGCAACUCUUAUGAAGACCUAGUCAACUGUCACUGCUACAUAAGCAUUCAGGUUAUGCUGCUUUAUCAUCAUUUUUAUUUUCUUCCAUUUUUCUCUUUUACAGCUUGUGAGCUUACUGCUUCAUUAUGUCAAUUUUCUGAAUGUGAUUUUUUAUUUUCUCUUGGGUUGUUUAUUCUCAUUUUCCCUUUAGUAUCAAAGCUGAUUAAAUCAAUUAGACACUGAUGAAUUUUAUUAUGAAUUUGAUUAAUUGUAAGUGGGCAAUAUAUUAAUAUGUAUUUUUUUGGCACUCAUUUUAUUGUAACCUAUGUUUCAGGUGAUGUUGGUGGCUUUCGGGAAUUUACUAAGAGUGUUUUUUUUAUGGAUUAAUUGUUUUUCUAGUGAUGUGUUGGUGAUUGGAUAUUGUAAAGGAUUUAUUAGAUAUUGUAUACGGAUUUGAUUCACCAUAUAUUUUGUGAUGCUAUUUGUUGGAAGUUUCAAGUGAUUGAAAUUUUUAGCGCAUCACACUAUUUGGUAUUUGAUAGUUUUUAUGAAUUUGAAUGUAAUUUUUAUUUCAAUUAAUUCAAGUUUUAAAUGUGGUUUUUGUUGUUUUUAUUUCAAAAUUCUGGAAUUUAAAUAAUAAUAAUUAAUAUUAUUAUAAUUUCAAAAUUAAAAAUAAUAAUUUUAUUCUUUUUUAAACUUUAAAUCUCAUGACAAAGAAUGUGAAUCAUUGAUAUAUGACAGCUUUUGAAGAAACCCAUCAAAUUCAAAAUAAUUUAAAUACCUGCUAAAAUUUCCAAUUAAUUCUCGAAAGUCUUUCAAAACGACGUCGCUUGGUUCGUGAUACAUGUGUGAUAAAUAUACAUUGUCAUGGGAACAUGUGAUAGAUAAAAUGUUGUCACAGAUUUGUGAGACGGGCUACAAUGACAGAUGGAAACUCUGUCAUAAGAGGGGUCGGAUGAUAGAUAUUCUCUGUCAUGGUAGCCCAUUUUUCUAGUAGUGUUCAAAUAGAAAAAUUAGUACGUUGUCAAUAUAAUUGUCUUAUAUAUGAUGCCAACAAUGAAACUAAACAAUCAUUCCCUUUAGCAUCCUUUUGGAAAAAUCUCUAUAACAAAUUGGAACAUUUUAAAAACUCAAAUCUUCAUAAAAAGUGGAGUGAGGAGUACCAUUAAUGAGUAAGUCCUGUGUUCGCACUUACAAAUACAAACACAAAGAUUAAAAUAAAUUUGAUCACUCACUAAUUGGAGUAUUUAUGUUAAACUUAUAGUUAUGUUUGGCCCUAAAAGUAUGCAAUAAAAUAACAUCAUUUUCAUAUACAAAAUUUUAUUUAUUCAUUGUUUAUUUUGACCGAACAUUAUUAGACUUAGUUUAUGAAGCAUGUAUUUUAUAUAUUGAUAAUUCUGCUGUACGGCCAAGGCGGAUGUACGGUACAGCAGGCCUAUCUAUCUUUUUUUGGUUUUUGUAUAUAUAUAACUCAUGAGAUUUAUAAUUUUUCAUUAUCAUGUUAACCCCUGGUCUGGACUGUCCUAAUAUUUAAACUUCUUUCCACCAUUUUCAAUUCUUAAAUUGACCAAUAUUUAUCUCAAUGUGUCCCUUUACUUGCCCAUUGAAUUUUGCAUCAAGGAUCUGAUGUGGUAGAAGAGAAGCUAACAAUUUAUGCGCUCGACAAUGUCUUUGCCUUUUGAAUUGAUUGAGAGAUCAUCAUUUCUUCACCCACUGGAAACUUUAGAUUAUGCUUUACGCUUUGGGCUUAUACUGGCAAGCCUACAAUCAUGGUAUUAAAGUUGGUAGAUUGAGGAGAUUCUGGUGAUUCCAGAAUUUUCUACAUUUUCUCUUUAUCUUUUGGAUUUUUAGAACUUUUUCCUUUCUUUUUAUUAGCUUGAUUUUGAUGGAUUUUAUUUAAUUAUAUAUGGAAGGUUAGAUGUUGUGCAUUAAUUAAAUUAUAGUCUUGAAAAAAUACUCUUUAAAAAAAUUCAUCUAGAAAUUUAGAAUUGAAAUCUGUCGAAGGCUAGACUAAAAGUUCUCUUCUCGUCUUUGGCAUUGCACUUGGUUUUAUAUUUCUCUUUACUAUGUACUCUGUUGCAAAAUAUUUUGUUUAUACUUAAUCUUUUAUAAUCCAGCAACUCUUAUGAAGACCUAGUCAACUGUCACUGCUACAUAAGCAUUCAGGUUAUGCUGCUUUAUCAUCAUUUUUAUUUUCUUCCAUUUUUCUCUUUUACAGCUUGUGAGCUUACUGCUUCAUUAUGUCAAUUUUCUGAAUGUGAUUUUUUAUUUUCUCUUGGGUUGUUUAUUCUCAUUUUCCCUUUAGUAUCAAAGCUGAUUAAAUCAAUUAGACACUGAUGAAUUUUAUUAUGAAUUUGAUUAAUUGUAAGUGGGCAAUAUAUUAAUAUGUAUUUUUUUGGCACUCAUUUUAUUGUAACCUAUGUUUCAGGUGAUGUUGGUGGCUUUCGGGAAUUUACUAAGAGUGUUUUUUUUAUGGAUUAAUUGUUUUUCUAGUGAUGUGUUGGUGAUUGGAUAUUGUAAAGGAUUUAUUAGAUAUUGUAUACGGAUUUGAUUCACCAUAUAUUUUGUGAUGCUAUUUGUUGGAAGUUUCAAGUGAUUGAAAUUUUUAGCGCAUCACACUAUUUGGUAUUUGAUAGUUUUUAUGAAUUUGAAUGUAAUUUUUAUUUCAAUUAAUUCAAGUUUUAAAUGUGGUUUUUGUUGUUUUUAUUUCAAAAUUCUGGAAUUUAAAUAAUAAUAAUUAAUAUUAUUAUAAUUUCAAAAUUAAAAAUAAUAAUUUUAUUCUUUUUUAAACUUUAAAUCUCAUGACAAAGAAUGUGAAUCAUUGAUAUAUGACAGCUUUUGAAGAAACCCAUCAAAUUCAAAAUAAUUUAAAUACCUGCUAAAAUUUCCAAUUAAUUCUCGAAAGUCUUUCAAAACGACGUCGCUUGGUUCGUGAUACAUGUGUGAUAAAUAUACAUUGUCAUGGGAACAUGUGAUAGAUAAAAUGUUGUCACAGAUUUGUGAGACGGGCUACAAUGACAGAUGGAAACUCUGUCAUAAGAGGGGUCGGAUGAUAGAUAUUCUCUGUCAUGGUAGCCCAUUUUUCUAGUAGUGUUCAAAUAGAAAAAUUAGUACGUUGUCAAUAUAAUUGUCUUAUAUAUGAUGCCAACAAUGAAACUAAACAAUCAUUCCCUUUAGCAUCCUUUUGGAAAAAUCUCUAUAACAAAUUGGAACAUUUUAAAAACUCAAAUCUUCAUAAAAAGUGGAGUGAGGAGUACCAUUAAUGAGUAAGUCCUGUGUUCGCACUUACAAAUACAAACACAAAGAUUAAAAUAAAUUUGAUCACUCACUAAUUGGAGUAUUUAUGUUAAACUUAUAGUUAUGUUUGGCCCUAAAAGUAUGCAAUAAAAUAACAUCAUUUUCAUAUACAAAAUUUUAUUUAUUCAUUGUUUAUUUUGACCGAACAUUAUUAGACUUAGUUUAUGAAGCAUGUAUUUUAUAUAUUGAUAAUUCUGCUGUACGGCCAAGGCGGAUGUACGGUACAGCAGGCCUAUCUAUCUUUUUUUGGUUUUUGUAUAUAUAUAACUCAUGAGAUUUAUAAUUUUUCAUUAUCAUGUUAACCCCUGGUCUGGACUGUCCUAAUAUUUAAACUUCUUUCCACCAUUUUCAAUUCUUAAAUUGACCAAUAUUUAUCUCAAUGUGUCCCUUUACUUGCCCAUUGAAUUUUGCAUCAAGGAUCUGAUGUGGUAGAAGAGAAGCUAACAAUUUAUGCGCUCGACAAUGUCUUUGCCUUUUGAAUUGAUUGAGAGAUCAUCAUUUCUUCACCCACUGGAAACUUUAGAUUAUGCUUUACGCUUUGGGCUUAUACUGGCAAGCCUACAAUCAUGGUAUUAAAGUUGGUAGAUUGAGGAGAUUCUGGUGAUUCCAGAAUUUUCUACAUUUUCUCUUUAUCUUUUGGAUUUUUAGAACUUUUUCCUUUCUUUUUAUUAGCUUGAUUUUGAUGGAUUUUAUUUAAUUAUAUAUGGAAGGUUAGAUGUUGUGCAUUAAUUAAAUUAUAGUCUUGAAAAAAUACUCUUUAAAAAAAUUCAUCUAGAAAUUUAGAAUUGAAAUCUGUCGAAGGCUAGACUAAAAGUUCUCUUCUCGUCUUUGGCAUUGCACUUGGUUUUAUAUUUCUCUUUACUAUGUACUCUGUUGCAAAAUAUUUUGUUUAUACUUAAUCUUUUAUAAUCCAGCAACUCUUAUGAAGACCUAGUCAACUGUCACUGCUACAUAAGCAUUCAGGUUAUGCUGCUUUAUCAUCAUUUUUAUUUUCUUCCAUUUUUCUCUUUUACAGCUUGUGAGCUUACUGCUUCAUUAUGUCAAUUUUCUGAAUGUGAUUUUUUAUUUUCUCUUGGGUUGUUUAUUCUCAUUUUCCCUUUAGUAUCAAAGCUGAUUAAAUCAAUUAGACACUGAUGAAUUUUAUUAUGAAUUUGAUUAAUUGUAAGUGGGCAAUAUAUUAAUAUGUAUUUUUUUGGCACUCAUUUUAUUGUAACCUAUGUUUCAGGUGAUGUUGGUGGCUUUCGGGAAUUUACUAAGAGUGUUUUUUUUAUGGAUUAAUUGUUUUUCUAGUGAUGUGUUGGUGAUUGGAUAUUGUAAAGGAUUUAUUAGAUAUUGUAUACGGAUUUGAUUCACCAUAUAUUUUGUGAUGCUAUUUGUUGGAAGUUUCAAGUGAUUGAAAUUUUUAGCGCAUCACACUAUUUGGUAUUUGAUAGUUUUUAUGAAUUUGAAUGUAAUUUUUAUUUCAAUUAAUUCAAGUUUUAAAUGUGGUUUUUGUUGUUUUUAUUUCAAAAUUCUGGAAUUUAAAUAAUAAUAAUUAAUAUUAUUAUAAUUUCAAAAUUAAAAAUAAUAAUUUUAUUCUUUUUUAAACUUUAAAUCUCAUGACAAAGAAUGUGAAUCAUUGAUAUAUGACAGCUUUUGAAGAAACCCAUCAAAUUCAAAAUAAUUUAAAUACCUGCUAAAAUUUCCAAUUAAUUCUCGAAAGUCUUUCAAAACGACGUCGCUUGGUUCGUGAUACAUGUGUGAUAAAUAUACAUUGUCAUGGGAACAUGUGAUAGAUAAAAUGUUGUCACAGAUUUGUGAGACGGGCUACAAUGACAGAUGGAAACUCUGUCAUAAGAGGGGUCGGAUGAUAGAUAUUCUCUGUCAUGGUAGCCCAUUUUUCUAGUAGUGUUCAAAUAGAAAAAUUAGUACGUUGUCAAUAUAAUUGUCUUAUAUAUGAUGCCAACAAUGAAACUAAACAAUCAUUCCCUUUAGCAUCCUUUUGGAAAAAUCUCUAUAACAAAUUGGAACAUUUUAAAAACUCAAAUCUUCAUAAAAAGUGGAGUGAGGAGUACCAUUAAUGAGUAAGUCCUGUGUUCGCACUUACAAAUACAAACACAAAGAUUAAAAUAAAUUUGAUCACUCACUAAUUGGAGUAUUUAUGUUAAACUUAUAGUUAUGUUUGGCCCUAAAAGUAUGCAAUAAAAUAACAUCAUUUUCAUAUACAAAAUUUUAUUUAUUCAUUGUUUAUUUUGACCGAACAUUAUUAGACUUAGUUUAUGAAGCAUGUAUUUUAUAUAUUGAUAAUUCUGCUGUACGGCCAAGGCGGAUGUACGGUACAGCAGGCCUAUCUAUCUUUUUUUGGUUUUUGUAUAUAUAUAACUCAUGAGAUUUAUAAUUUUUCAUUAUCAUGUUAACCCCUGGUCUGGACUGUCCUAAUAUUUAAACUUCUUUCCACCAUUUUCAAUUCUUAAAUUGACCAAUAUUUAUCUCAAUGUGUCCCUUUACUUGCCCAUUGAAUUUUGCAUCAAGGAUCUGAUGUGGUAGAAGAGAAGCUAACAAUUUAUGCGCUCGACAAUGUCUUUGCCUUUUGAAUUGAUUGAGAGAUCAUCAUUUCUUCACCCACUGGAAACUUUAGAUUAUGCUUUACGCUUUGGGCUUAUACUGGCAAGCCUACAAUCAUGGUAUUAAAGUUGGUAGAUUGAGGAGAUUCUGGUGAUUCCAGAAUUUUCUACAUUUUCUCUUUAUCUUUUGGAUUUUUAGAACUUUUUCCUUUCUUUUUAUUAGCUUGAUUUUGAUGGAUUUUAUUUAAUUAUAUAUGGAAGGUUAGAUGUUGUGCAUUAAUUAAAUUAUAGUCUUGAAAAAAUACUCUUUAAAAAAAUUCAUCUAGAAAUUUAGAAUUGAAAUCUGUCGAAGGCUAGACUAAAAGUUCUCUUCUCGUCUUUGGCAUUGCACUUGGUUUUAUAUUUCUCUUUACUAUGUACUCUGUUGCAAAAUAUUUUGUUUAUACUUAAUCUUUUAUAAUCCAGCAACUCUUAUGAAGACCUAGUCAACUGUCACUGCUACAUAAGCAUUCAGGUUAUGCUGCUUUAUCAUCAUUUUUAUUUUCUUCCAUUUUUCUCUUUUACAGCUUGUGAGCUUACUGCUUCAUUAUGUCAAUUUUCUGAAUGUGAUUUUUUAUUUUCUCUUGGGUUGUUUAUUCUCAUUUUCCCUUUAGUAUCAAAGCUGAUUAAAUCAAUUAGACACUGAUGAAUUUUAUUAUGAAUUUGAUUAAUUGUAAGUGGGCAAUAUAUUAAUAUGUAUUUUUUUGGCACUCAUUUUAUUGUAACCUAUGUUUCAGGUGAUGUUGGUGGCUUUCGGGAAUUUACUAAGAGUGUUUUUUUUAUGGAUUAAUUGUUUUUCUAGUGAUGUGUUGGUGAUUGGAUAUUGUAAAGGAUUUAUUAGAUAUUGUAUACGGAUUUGAUUCACCAUAUAUUUUGUGAUGCUAUUUGUUGGAAGUUUCAAGUGAUUGAAAUUUUUAGCGCAUCACACUAUUUGGUAUUUGAUAGUUUUUAUGAAUUUGAAUGUAAUUUUUAUUUCAAUUAAUUCAAGUUUUAAAUGUGGUUUUUGUUGUUUUUAUUUCAAAAUUCUGGAAUUUAAAUAAUAAUAAUUAAUAUUAUUAUAAUUUCAAAAUUAAAAAUAAUAAUUUUAUUCUUUUUUAAACUUUAAAUCUCAUGACAAAGAAUGUGAAUCAUUGAUAUAUGACAGCUUUUGAAGAAACCCAUCAAAUUCAAAAUAAUUUAAAUACCUGCUAAAAUUUCCAAUUAAUUCUCGAAAGUCUUUCAAAACGACGUCGCUUGGUUCGUGAUACAUGUGUGAUAAAUAUACAUUGUCAUGGGAACAUGUGAUAGAUAAAAUGUUGUCACAGAUUUGUGAGACGGGCUACAAUGACAGAUGGAAACUCUGUCAUAAGAGGGGUCGGAUGAUAGAUAUUCUCUGUCAUGGUAGCCCAUUUUUCUAGUAGUGUUCAAAUAGAAAAAUUAGUACGUUGUCAAUAUAAUUGUCUUAUAUAUGAUGCCAACAAUGAAACUAAACAAUCAUUCCCUUUAGCAUCCUUUUGGAAAAAUCUCUAUAACAAAUUGGAACAUUUUAAAAACUCAAAUCUUCAUAAAAAGUGGAGUGAGGAGUACCAUUAAUGAGUAAGUCCUGUGUUCGCACUUACAAAUACAAACACAAAGAUUAAAAUAAAUUUGAUCACUCACUAAUUGGAGUAUUUAUGUUAAACUUAUAGUUAUGUUUGGCCCUAAAAGUAUGCAAUAAAAUAACAUCAUUUUCAUAUACAAAAUUUUAUUUAUUCAUUGUUUAUUUUGACCGAACAUUAUUAGACUUAGUUUAUGAAGCAUGUAUUUUAUAUAUUGAUAAUUCUGCUGUACGGCCAAGGCGGAUGUACGGUACAGCAGGCCUAUCUAUCUUUUUUUGGUUUUUGUAUAUAUAUAACUCAUGAGAUUUAUAAUUUUUCAUUAUCAUGUUAACCCCUGGUCUGGACUGUCCUAAUAUUUAAACUUCUUUCCACCAUUUUCAAUUCUUAAAUUGACCAAUAUUUAUCUCAAUGUGUCCCUUUACUUGCCCAUUGAAUUUUGCAUCAAGGAUCUGAUGUGGUAGAAGAGAAGCUAACAAUUUAUGCGCUCGACAAUGUCUUUGCCUUUUGAAUUGAUUGAGAGAUCAUCAUUUCUUCACCCACUGGAAACUUUAGAUUAUGCUUUACGCUUUGGGCUUAUACUGGCAAGCCUACAAUCAUGGUAUUAAAGUUGGUAGAUUGAGGAGAUUCUGGUGAUUCCAGAAUUUUCUACAUUUUCUCUUUAUCUUUUGGAUUUUUAGAACUUUUUCCUUUCUUUUUAUUAGCUUGAUUUUGAUGGAUUUUAUUUAAUUAUAUAUGGAAGGUUAGAUGUUGUGCAUUAAUUAAAUUAUAGUCUUGAAAAAAUACUCUUUAAAAAAAUUCAUCUAGAAAUUUAGAAUUGAAAUCUGUCGAAGGCUAGACUAAAAGUUCUCUUCUCGUCUUUGGCAUUGCACUUGGUUUUAUAUUUCUCUUUACUAUGUACUCUGUUGCAAAAUAUUUUGUUUAUACUUAAUCUUUUAUAAUCCAGCAACUCUUAUGAAGACCUAGUCAACUGUCACUGCUACAUAAGCAUUCAGGUUAUGCUGCUUUAUCAUCAUUUUUAUUUUCUUCCAUUUUUCUCUUUUACAGCUUGUGAGCUUACUGCUUCAUUAUGUCAAUUUUCUGAAUGUGAUUUUUUAUUUUCUCUUGGGUUGUUUAUUCUCAUUUUCCCUUUAGUAUCAAAGCUGAUUAAAUCAAUUAGACACUGAUGAAUUUUAUUAUGAAUUUGAUUAAUUGUAAGUGGGCAAUAUAUUAAUAUGUAUUUUUUUGGCACUCAUUUUAUUGUAACCUAUGUUUCAGGUGAUGUUGGUGGCUUUCGGGAAUUUACUAAGAGUGUUUUUUUUAUGGAUUAAUUGUUUUUCUAGUGAUGUGUUGGUGAUUGGAUAUUGUAAAGGAUUUAUUAGAUAUUGUAUACGGAUUUGAUUCACCAUAUAUUUUGUGAUGCUAUUUGUUGGAAGUUUCAAGUGAUUGAAAUUUUUAGCGCAUCACACUAUUUGGUAUUUGAUAGUUUUUAUGAAUUUGAAUGUAAUUUUUAUUUCAAUUAAUUCAAGUUUUAAAUGUGGUUUUUGUUGUUUUUAUUUCAAAAUUCUGGAAUUUAAAUAAUAAUAAUUAAUAUUAUUAUAAUUUCAAAAUUAAAAAUAAUAAUUUUAUUCUUUUUUAAACUUUAAAUCUCAUGACAAAGAAUGUGAAUCAUUGAUAUAUGACAGCUUUUGAAGAAACCCAUCAAAUUCAAAAUAAUUUAAAUACCUGCUAAAAUUUCCAAUUAAUUCUCGAAAGUCUUUCAAAACGACGUCGCUUGGUUCGUGAUACAUGUGUGAUAAAUAUACAUUGUCAUGGGAACAUGUGAUAGAUAAAAUGUUGUCACAGAUUUGUGAGACGGGCUACAAUGACAGAUGGAAACUCUGUCAUAAGAGGGGUCGGAUGAUAGAUAUUCUCUGUCAUGGUAGCCCAUUUUUCUAGUAGUGUUCAAAUAGAAAAAUUAGUACGUUGUCAAUAUAAUUGUCUUAUAUAUGAUGCCAACAAUGAAACUAAACAAUCAUUCCCUUUAGCAUCCUUUUGGAAAAAUCUCUAUAACAAAUUGGAACAUUUUAAAAACUCAAAUCUUCAUAAAAAGUGGAGUGAGGAGUACCAUUAAUGAGUAAGUCCUGUGUUCGCACUUACAAAUACAAACACAAAGAUUAAAAUAAAUUUGAUCACUCACUAAUUGGAGUAUUUAUGUUAAACUUAUAGUUAUGUUUGGCCCUAAAAGUAUGCAAUAAAAUAACAUCAUUUUCAUAUACAAAAUUUUAUUUAUUCAUUGUUUAUUUUGACCGAACAUUAUUAGACUUAGUUUAUGAAGCAUGUAUUUUAUAUAUUGAUAAUUCUGCUGUACGGCCAAGGCGGAUGUACGGUACAGCAGGCCUAUCUAUCUUUUUUUGGUUUUUGUAUAUAUAUAACUCAUGAGAUUUAUAAUUUUUCAUUAUCAUGUUAACCCCUGGUCUGGACUGUCCUAAUAUUUAAACUUCUUUCCACCAUUUUCAAUUCUUAAAUUGACCAAUAUUUAUCUCAAUGUGUCCCUUUACUUGCCCAUUGAAUUUUGCAUCAAGGAUCUGAUGUGGUAGAAGAGAAGCUAACAAUUUAUGCGCUCGACAAUGUCUUUGCCUUUUGAAUUGAUUGAGAGAUCAUCAUUUCUUCACCCACUGGAAACUUUAGAUUAUGCUUUACGCUUUGGGCUUAUACUGGCAAGCCUACAAUCAUGGUAUUAAAGUUGGUAGAUUGAGGAGAUUCUGGUGAUUCCAGAAUUUUCUACAUUUUCUCUUUAUCUUUUGGAUUUUUAGAACUUUUUCCUUUCUUUUUAUUAGCUUGAUUUUGAUGGAUUUUAUUUAAUUAUAUAUGGAAGGUUAGAUGUUGUGCAUUAAUUAAAUUAUAGUCUUGAAAAAAUACUCUUUAAAAAAAUUCAUCUAGAAAUUUAGAAUUGAAAUCUGUCGAAGGCUAGACUAAAAGUUCUCUUCUCGUCUUUGGCAUUGCACUUGGUUUUAUAUUUCUCUUUACUAUGUACUCUGUUGCAAAAUAUUUUGUUUAUACUUAAUCUUUUAUAAUCCAGCAACUCUUAUGAAGACCUAGUCAACUGUCACUGCUACAUAAGCAUUCAGGUUAUGCUGCUUUAUCAUCAUUUUUAUUUUCUUCCAUUUUUCUCUUUUACAGCUUGUGAGCUUACUGCUUCAUUAUGUCAAUUUUCUGAAUGUGAUUUUUUAUUUUCUCUUGGGUUGUUUAUUCUCAUUUUCCCUUUAGUAUCAAAGCUGAUUAAAUCAAUUAGACACUGAUGAAUUUUAUUAUGAAUUUGAUUAAUUGUAAGUGGGCAAUAUAUUAAUAUGUAUUUUUUUGGCACUCAUUUUAUUGUAACCUAUGUUUCAGGUGAUGUUGGUGGCUUUCGGGAAUUUACUAAGAGUGUUUUUUUUAUGGAUUAAUUGUUUUUCUAGUGAUGUGUUGGUGAUUGGAUAUUGUAAAGGAUUUAUUAGAUAUUGUAUACGGAUUUGAUUCACCAUAUAUUUUGUGAUGCUAUUUGUUGGAAGUUUCAAGUGAUUGAAAUUUUUAGCGCAUCACACUAUUUGGUAUUUGAUAGUUUUUAUGAAUUUGAAUGUAAUUUUUAUUUCAAUUAAUUCAAGUUUUAAAUGUGGUUUUUGUUGUUUUUAUUUCAAAAUUCUGGAAUUUAAAUAAUAAUAAUUAAUAUUAUUAUAAUUUCAAAAUUAAAAAUAAUAAUUUUAUUCUUUUUUAAACUUUAAAUCUCAUGACAAAGAAUGUGAAUCAUUGAUAUAUGACAGCUUUUGAAGAAACCCAUCAAAUUCAAAAUAAUUUAAAUACCUGCUAAAAUUUCCAAUUAAUUCUCGAAAGUCUUUCAAAACGACGUCGCUUGGUUCGUGAUACAUGUGUGAUAAAUAUACAUUGUCAUGGGAACAUGUGAUAGAUAAAAUGUUGUCACAGAUUUGUGAGACGGGCUACAAUGACAGAUGGAAACUCUGUCAUAAGAGGGGUCGGAUGAUAGAUAUUCUCUGUCAUGGUAGCCCAUUUUUCUAGUAGUGUUCAAAUAGAAAAAUUAGUACGUUGUCAAUAUAAUUGUCUUAUAUAUGAUGCCAACAAUGAAACUAAACAAUCAUUCCCUUUAGCAUCCUUUUGGAAAAAUCUCUAUAACAAAUUGGAACAUUUUAAAAACUCAAAUCUUCAUAAAAAGUGGAGUGAGGAGUACCAUUAAUGAGUAAGUCCUGUGUUCGCACUUACAAAUACAAACACAAAGAUUAAAAUAAAUUUGAUCACUCACUAAUUGGAGUAUUUAUGUUAAACUUAUAGUUAUGUUUGGCCCUAAAAGUAUGCAAUAAAAUAACAUCAUUUUCAUAUACAAAAUUUUAUUUAUUCAUUGUUUAUUUUGACCGAACAUUAUUAGACUUAGUUUAUGAAGCAUGUAUUUUAUAUAUUGAUAAUUCUGCUGUACGGCCAAGGCGGAUGUACGGUACAGCAGGCCUAUCUAUCUUUUUUUGGUUUUUGUAUAUAUAUAACUCAUGAGAUUUAUAAUUUUUCAUUAUCAUGUUAACCCCUGGUCUGGACUGUCCUAAUAUUUAAACUUCUUUCCACCAUUUUCAAUUCUUAAAUUGACCAAUAUUUAUCUCAAUGUGUCCCUUUACUUGCCCAUUGAAUUUUGCAUCAAGGAUCUGAUGUGGUAGAAGAGAAGCUAACAAUUUAUGCGCUCGACAAUGUCUUUGCCUUUUGAAUUGAUUGAGAGAUCAUCAUUUCUUCACCCACUGGAAACUUUAGAUUAUGCUUUACGCUUUGGGCUUAUACUGGCAAGCCUACAAUCAUGGUAUUAAAGUUGGUAGAUUGAGGAGAUUCUGGUGAUUCCAGAAUUUUCUACAUUUUCUCUUUAUCUUUUGGAUUUUUAGAACUUUUUCCUUUCUUUUUAUUAGCUUGAUUUUGAUGGAUUUUAUUUAAUUAUAUAUGGAAGGUUAGAUGUUGUGCAUUAAUUAAAUUAUAGUCUUGAAAAAAUACUCUUUAAAAAAAUUCAUCUAGAAAUUUAGAAUUGAAAUCUGUCGAAGGCUAGACUAAAAGUUCUCUUCUCGUCUUUGGCAUUGCACUUGGUUUUAUAUUUCUCUUUACUAUGUACUCUGUUGCAAAAUAUUUUGUUUAUACUUAAUCUUUUAUAAUCCAGCAACUCUUAUGAAGACCUAGUCAACUGUCACUGCUACAUAAGCAUUCAGGUUAUGCUGCUUUAUCAUCAUUUUUAUUUUCUUCCAUUUUUCUCUUUUACAGCUUGUGAGCUUACUGCUUCAUUAUGUCAAUUUUCUGAAUGUGAUUUUUUAUUUUCUCUUGGGUUGUUUAUUCUCAUUUUCCCUUUAGUAUCAAAGCUGAUUAAAUCAAUUAGACACUGAUGAAUUUUAUUAUGAAUUUGAUUAAUUGUAAGUGGGCAAUAUAUUAAUAUGUAUUUUUUUGGCACUCAUUUUAUUGUAACCUAUGUUUCAGGUGAUGUUGGUGGCUUUCGGGAAUUUACUAAGAGUGUUUUUUUUAUGGAUUAAUUGUUUUUCUAGUGAUGUGUUGGUGAUUGGAUAUUGUAAAGGAUUUAUUAGAUAUUGUAUACGGAUUUGAUUCACCAUAUAUUUUGUGAUGCUAUUUGUUGGAAGUUUCAAGUGAUUGAAAUUUUUAGCGCAUCACACUAUUUGGUAUUUGAUAGUUUUUAUGAAUUUGAAUGUAAUUUUUAUUUCAAUUAAUUCAAGUUUUAAAUGUGGUUUUUGUUGUUUUUAUUUCAAAAUUCUGGAAUUUAAAUAAUAAUAAUUAAUAUUAUUAUAAUUUCAAAAUUAAAAAUAAUAAUUUUAUUCUUUUUUAAACUUUAAAUCUCAUGACAAAGAAUGUGAAUCAUUGAUAUAUGACAGCUUUUGAAGAAACCCAUCAAAUUCAAAAUAAUUUAAAUACCUGCUAAAAUUUCCAAUUAAUUCUCGAAAGUCUUUCAAAACGACGUCGCUUGGUUCGUGAUACAUGUGUGAUAAAUAUACAUUGUCAUGGGAACAUGUGAUAGAUAAAAUGUUGUCACAGAUUUGUGAGACGGGCUACAAUGACAGAUGGAAACUCUGUCAUAAGAGGGGUCGGAUGAUAGAUAUUCUCUGUCAUGGUAGCCCAUUUUUCUAGUAGUGUUCAAAUAGAAAAAUUAGUACGUUGUCAAUAUAAUUGUCUUAUAUAUGAUGCCAACAAUGAAACUAAACAAUCAUUCCCUUUAGCAUCCUUUUGGAAAAAUCUCUAUAACAAAUUGGAACAUUUUAAAAACUCAAAUCUUCAUAAAAAGUGGAGUGAGGAGUACCAUUAAUGAGUAAGUCCUGUGUUCGCACUUACAAAUACAAACACAAAGAUUAAAAUAAAUUUGAUCACUCACUAAUUGGAGUAUUUAUGUUAAACUUAUAGUUAUGUUUGGCCCUAAAAGUAUGCAAUAAAAUAACAUCAUUUUCAUAUACAAAAUUUUAUUUAUUCAUUGUUUAUUUUGACCGAACAUUAUUAGACUUAGUUUAUGAAGCAUGUAUUUUAUAUAUUGAUAAUUAAUUUCAUUUCAAUAUUGGAUGAUAUAAAUCACAAAUUUUUUAUGAAUAAAAAAUUGUACAUAGUCAUUAAUGAAUUGGACAUGUCAUUAUGUACGUAAUUUUAUACUUUUCCUAUCUCUACAAUGAGUGAUUUUUUCUUGAUCGCUAAAUUGGAGAUUUCAAGUAGAAAAGUUAAUUUGUUGUCAAUAUAAUAGUAAUACAUAUGAUGCCAACAAUGAAACAUAACAAUCAUUUCCUUUGUCAUCCUUAUAGAAAAAUCUCUAUAAUAAACUGGAACAUUUAAAAUCUUAAGUGUUUAUAAAAUAUGGAGUGAGGACCAUUAACGAAUAAGUCAUGUUCAUAUUUACAAAAACAAGCACAGAAGCACAAACACAAAAAUUGAAAUAAAUGUGAGAACAGAUAACUAUUUUUGAAAUAAUGCCCAUUACGAGCAUUACUGGUCUUUAUUGUUUGUAACCGCUACUUGAAACGCCUUUAGUGCUGCAACUAUUUGCUACUUUCUUGAAAUCCCAUCUUCGCACCAAACCAAUCUUCAAACCCGGCUAAUAAUUACUUCAUUUUAGAGCAAUUCGGAAGUCUUGUCACAAAUUUUCACCCCGAUAAGUCAGGGGUUUACUUGAUACAAAUAAAUAAACUAUUUCUUUCCGUAAGAAAUUGGUGUAAAAUCGAUUAUCCAGAUGUUAUUAUCCCAAUUUAUGAAUCUUAAUUUUCAUGAUGAGAAAUUAUGCCCCUAUUAACCAUACAAAAUAAAUUUUAAAAAUAAAAUAAAAUAAAAUAAAACCAUACAGAGUAUACAAAAAGAGAGCGGUUAAUAUUUAUUAUUAUUGUUGAAAUAAUUUAUUGAAAUUCACCUAGUGUCUGUUUAAUCUUUAUAUUUUAAAAAAUAACUCAAGACACCCUUACCGUUGAAUAUGUUACACUUAUAUCCUUACUUUUUCUUUUAAUUUAUAAUAAUAUUCUUACAACAUUAUUCUUGAGAAUAUUAAUAAAAAAUAAUUUAUUAUAUUAAACUUAAAAGUAACAUAAAAAUUAACACAAAUUUUUAUAUUAUUAUUUUACUUUUGUUAUUUCACGACUUUAUAUCGUAUUAGAAAAGUUUAAGUAACUAGUUUUGCUCCUUGUGGCUAGCUGUUAUUGGCAGCUGGAGCAUGUAAUCUUAAACCCAAUAACUUUAAGAGGAAAAUGUUAAUAAGUAUAAUUAUCACAAAGAAAUCAAAAAUAUAAAAAGUAUAAAAAUCAAAUAAUCUAAAAAUAAAAUUCCACUAUAAAAGAAAAACAAAACUAACAUUACACGAAGGAAAAUGGUCGUUAGUUUCCUGAAUACUUCAAUUAACUUCCUUAAGUUUGUUCCUGCUCCUUUAGUUUGCUGAGACAUACUGCAGUAAAUGAUGACUUUGAACGACUUGUCACUUUCUUCAGGAAAUUAAGGAAUUUGCCCAAAAUUGAAAAGUAAAGUCAUCUCUAACAAAGUUCGAAAAAGUUUCUCAAAACUCACUAACCUCGCUUCCAAUUCCUUCAUUGAUUCGCAUAUAUUCUCUGUUUUUCUUCUAUUAGUUUCUGUUAGGAAUUUUAGCAAACAUUUGAUAUGGAUAACACAAUUAAAAUAAUAGAACAAAGAAUUUCGAUUCCUAAUUUAACUGAAAAAAAAAAUCUGAAUUUCACUUAAUACAAUCACAACUAAAGUAAUCAAAAUUAAAUUAGCUGAGUUAAAAAAUGCAUGCCAUCUUCUCAUUGUUAUCAACCUGCAACUCAAUAUCGAAAAACACCGAACGUGACCCUCUGUUAGCCUUAUGCCUCUUGUCCCCUCCCUCUCCAUAGCCUAACAUCUUCCAUGUGCUUCCUAUUGGUUUUUUACCCAAUAAGUAAAAAAAGAAGGAAAAAAAAAGUUCAAAUAUUUAGCGCGAUUGAGAUUAGAACUGAUCAAGUUCUAUUCAUCUUCCUAGGACGAGAUGAAUGCUGCUCGUCCAGUCUUCCUUAGCAUUUUGCAGCUUCACACCAACAUUUUUUGACUUGGAUUUCUUGAACUGAUCAAGUUGCAGGAAAAUAAUAAUAAUAAUAAUAAAGAUUUGAAAUAGAGAGGCAAAGCUAAACGAGAAAAAGACUUGAGAACUUUAUUUAUUUAUUUAUUUUUGUAUUAGUUUGUUUAGGGUUUUAAUUCUGCUUCAUUUUUUUUUCUGUUAUAUAAAAACUUAGCAUGUUAAUAACUGAAUAUUUUAGAAGUGAGAAAACUAAAAUUAAAAAAAUGAAAAACGUAAAUUAAAUUUCCAGAGAAUUUUUUAAUUAAAUUUUAAAAAAGAAAAAAAUAAAAAAGAAGAACAGUUUCAGUUCUUUUGUAAAUAAUAAAAAAUCAAAAUUAAAUUUUAAUGAAAUAGAAGCUUUAACAAGUUAAAAAAUAUUUAUAAGUCAAGACAAAACUAUAUGCUAUAAUUUUUUAGUUUACUAACUAUAUCUAAUUAUCCAGAACAAUUUAUCAUGAAAGUUGAGGGGCACAGGUUCAAGUUCUACCGCUAUCUAAAAGUUGGUGUUAAGACUUUAGUUUUCCUCUUAUUAAUAGGUAAGGGGAAAUUAAGACUUUAAAUUAUCUCCUAUUAAUAGGCAAGCGUUAAAAGGAGAAUUUAAAAAAAAAAUCUGUGCAAAAAAGUGAAGUCUCUAAAUUAUUAAAAACUAGAGUAAAUAGGAGAAUUAAAAAAAAAAUCCUUAAAAAAAGUGAAGUCUCUAAAUUAUUGAAAACUAAAAGCGUUUGCGAGACUAAUACUUGUGUCUCAAAUUAUUGAACAAAUUUACACAAUUCUUUUAGCUACAAAAUAUUAAUGUCACUGACGACUACAUUUUGUUACACAUAUUUGUUGUUAUAAGAGAUGAUAAACUAUCCAAGAAUGUUAAAAUUUGCAGGAAUUUAUUAGUGCUAAAAAUACGAUGUCUCUGCAUAACGAAUGUCAUUAUGUUCACCAAAAGAAUAAGAAUCAAAUAGCAAAUAAAUGUGUUUUAAAAACAAAAUAACUUGGUCAAAAAGUACAGUAAUAACUAAAACAAAAUAUUCAAUUACUAUUUUUAAGAUUUUGUCGCUAUAGAAUUAUUUGUGACAAAAAAUUUGGGUGCCUAAUUUAGAGAAAGCCAAAAUAAUUUUGGAGACUAAUAUUUUUGUCAUAGCUUGUUUCACCAAAUUUAUACUCUUUUUUAGUUGAUAAUUUUUUGUCGCCUCUAAUUAUUUUUCAUCAUCACAUUUUUUUGUCACAACUGAUAAUUAAUUGUUUGGAGGAAUUGUUUUUCACUAUAUAUAUAUUAUGACCAAUGUAAUAUUUGUCACAAAAAGUUGAAUCAAUGACCAAUUAAUGCAUCCCAAAAUAAGAAUUAUUGGUUAGAAAAUAUAAUAUAAAUUAGAACUAGACUAAUAGUUUGAAAUUGUUGUAAAAAAAUCGUCUUAAAAAGUCAAAUUUCUUAUACUACACAUUGAUAUAUAUUGAUUAAUUUGUUAAUUAAUUUUUUAUUUAUAGAUAAAUUAAUUAAUGUUACGAAUAUCGUUGAAAGAGUAUUAUUAUAAAAAAAAAGAAAAAAAGGAUAAGAAUGUAACAUAUUUAACUGAAGAGGUGUUUUGAGAUAUUUUUUAAAAUAUAAAACUAAACAAACAUUUAACUCAUAAUAUAGGAAUUAAAUAAUCAUUUAUCUUUAUUUUGUAGAUAACUAGUUUUGCUGGAAACUCCCAUAUAUACAACAGAUUUGGAAACACAAUACGCCACUCACAGUCACUUGGAGAAAUUCUCAAAGAGUAAAUAUGGCAGUGAUACUCAAAAAUAUAUUCCGAAUCACUGCUUCCAAGUUGGUCACCAAUAAUAUCCAAAUCUUCACGAAAAGAAGUAUAAAAACUGCCACUUCUGAUGUUCAAAUCAUUUCCACCGAAGCAAUCAAACCUCAUCUCCAACACCAAAACAUCUCAGAACCUAUAAGCUUUCAUUGCCUGAUCAAUUGUGUUCUAAACUUUACGUGUCCCUUGUUUUCUUCUACUCGACCAAUUGCAAACAGCAAGAUCUCAGAAAAAAAUCCGAUUUGUUGAAGCAGUCUCUCGCAAAAUCAUUAACGCACUACUACCCUUUUGCUGGACGAUUGAUUGAUAGCUUUUCAGUCGACUGCAAUGACCAUGGGGCUGCAUUUACUGGGGCUGCAAUUGUUGGCUGUGAUAUAUCAAAGUUUCUUCAACCACCAGAUAUGGAGCUGCUACUACAAUUAAUCCCACCUAGUCCCCAGUUAUCGAAUUUAGAUAUUUCUGAAAGAGAACUUUUGGCAGUCCAAGUAAAUUUGUUCAGCGGCGGUGAAAUGGCAAUUGGUGUUUGUUUUUCGCAUGGAGUGGCCGAUGGUUCAGCAAUAUUUAACUUCAUGAAAACGUCGGGCGAAAUCACUCGUGGGGUGAUUAAUGAUAAUGAUAAUAUUUUCAAUAACAAUGUCGUUUUAGAUUGCACUUCUUUGUUUCCGCCGGUAAAUUUUCCGAAGCCGUAUCAAAUCGUCACAAGCCCACAAUCUUCAGGCAACAUUGUAUUCAAAAGAUUGUUGUUUGAUAGCAAGAAGAUAGCAGCUCUAAAGGAGAAGAUGAAUAAAGAGCUAAUGGGUAAUAAUUUUGAUGAUAGGUUACAAGCAACACGAUUCGGGGUUGCAUCAGCACUCAUUUGGGGUGCCUUCAUUGCUAUUGCUGGGGAAAGAAAGAGGGAAAUUCAUAACAAGUUGUAUUCUCAUGCUAUGUAUUAUACUAUGAAUGUGCGUAACAAGACGAAUCCACCGAUGAUUCCACGGUGCAGGGGUAACAUUUUUUGGUUUGCAAGGGCAGAAUGGUCACUAGCCGAGAAUGAUGCCAUAAAGGUAGCAAGUUUAGUAAGAGAAGUGAUCAAAGCAAAGAGAAUGGGAGGAGAAGUGAUGCAUAGUAAUGAGCACUUAGGUUUCAUAAAGGAUAUGGAAGAAACAUGGGAGGAUUCAAGGUCGUUUGUUUUAACUAGUGUGGUUGGAUUGCCUUGUUAUGAAGUUGAUUUUGGCUGGGGGAAGCCUGUUUGGUUCAGUGUCGGGCCCUUCUUAUUACUUGAUUUUGCAAUUUUAUCAAGCUCAAGCGAUGGUGAAGGAAUAGAAGCAUGGGUGGUAAUGUUUAAGGAGGACAUGGAUAAAUUUGAACAAGAACCUAGCAUCAAGGCUUAUGCUUCCUCUAACCCUAGCAUAUUUAUAGGGAAGUAGGAAGUUAAUUUUAUGUAUGUUGCUUUGAAUAAAAGAGUUUUUUUUCCUAAAUAGAGUAAUGAUGAUAUGCUUAUAAAGUUAAAAAUAUGUUUGUUUUACAAUAAUUAUAUCUUGUUAUUGUCAUAUGUCUCUUUAAAUAAAAUCAUGUUAUGAAUGCAUACUUUCUUUCUUUCGAUCAAUGAAACCCACCAACCAUUUUGAUGGUUAUUUUGGACAACGAGAAGGGGAGGAGGAAAAAAAAAUAAAAAUGAAUGUGAUGUAGUUAUUUUGGAUAAGCAUAGCUUCAUAUAGAUGAUUUCGAUAAAUAAAAAAUGUGAAUCAAUUCUGAAUUUGCCAAAUAAAAUGUAUGUGAUGUAGUUUUUUAUCAAGGCAACCAGCAUCUGUGACCAUUGUGUGUUAAAUCUUAAUGGGCACUGAGCCCAUUUGUGAAUAACCGUAAGAACCAUGCUAUUUCCCUCUCCCAGUCCUCACAUUGCCUCUGAAAAGGCAGUGGCUAUUCACCCAACGUUAUUUCUUAUUAAUAAUCCCCACUUUUAUUCCACUGCAAGCAAUUUAAGGAAUCAUAUCGUAUCCAAUUCCUUGCAGAAUUAAAAUUUUCUUUAUCUACUGAGUAUCCAAAUCCUUGAAGAACUAACUAUUUUCUUUCUUUGUACAACUUCUUUUAUCAGUUACAUUAAUUGGUUUAUUAGUUAAAAAAUAAUAAUAAUAAUCACGUGAUCUGCUAAUCUAUUUCCAGAAAAUAAUUCAUUUGUUUUCGAAAAAUAAAUUGAACAAGUACUUAAUAUCGUAAAGGGUGUUAUUGUUUUAAAGGGUAGUUACUGGCAAUCGCGCUCUACUGCCGAUAGCUGAAGACUAAUUAUAAUGUCAUAAUUGAAACCAAGAAAAGCCUUCAAGUCCGCACGAACGUCUAGGAAAGGAGGACACGCGUCCUUUUGUAGAGCAGCGACUGUAUCAGACACUCCCAAAGGCCCAAAGGCAACUGGAACUGAUCUAGCACAACUCAUGAUAAAAGUACAAAAUAUUGUAUAAUUUUUUUAUGGGGCAGGUUCAAUAAGGUUUGAGAAGACAAAAAUAUAAACACAAUUUUUUACAAUAAUUUUGAGUCAUUAGAUUAAACAAAAAAUGAAUGGUUACAAUUAAAUGACGUGAUUGUAUUAAUAUCAGUAAUAAUUUUUUUUCUCUCUUUUCUCAUUAAUACUCUAUUCUCUCUCAUCCUUCUACUGAAUUUGUUAUCUCUCUCCCCUAGUUCUCCACCUCCUACGAAGAAAAACCAAGAGCAAUUGCAAAUAAUUGAAUAACUUUUUCUUUCCAAAUGACAAAUCAUUUAUCCAGAGAGCUCCUUCAUGAAUGUGAAGCAUACGGAAAUCAUUCAAAUCUGAGUACAUUUAGCUAUAAGCAAGUUUCCUUAGUGCUACGAGAAUCCACCAUUAAUGCAUUUGUGACGGAGCAGGUGUAGCGGAAGUAGAAUUGAUAGGGUCGAUAAUAUUAGAUAUCGUUCUAAUAUUGUACAUCGAAGCGUGAUUAGUUCUUAUUUUAAUUAAAAAAAACUCAGUGAGAUUUUAAUAAUGCGUAAAGUGAGAUUAGAUGAUAUUCUAAUUCAAACAACUCUAUAAGAGAGUUUUUUUUUUUUUAUAGAUAAUCCCAAUAGAAAAAAGGGAUUUUAUUGAAUAAUUGAAGUUGAAGUUAUCAAAGCAAUAACAAGACCUCCCUAUUUAUAAUAGAGAAAGCCUACUUCUCUAAAUUAACUUAAAAAUGAAAACUAAAUCACAAUUAUAAUAGAAAUAAAAGAUUAAGAUACAUACCUUAAUUGAUUCUAAUUAUAGAAAAUCCUAAAAUAAUAAAAUUCUUGAAUCCUAAAAUAACAUGCUAUGUCAGUCUCACCCUCUUAAAAGAAAAUCGUCCUCAAGUUUGAAUACAAUCUGAGGAUGAAACUUGUAAUGUAAGACCAAAUCAUCUUGUAAUUUGAACCUAUAGUCUUUGUCAUCAAUCUUUGUCGAAACUUUGAAGGAUUUAUACUUCAUCAAUUUCCUUUGCUUAUACAUUCUUCGAGGCGAUGAAGACUUCAAGAGCGAACAAUGAUCAAAUAACUCUUAACCUUCCCUAUUUGUCGCUCAAUAUGCUUUCCAACAAAUUUUACCUUUCAAAUUAAAUCUUUGCAAACACAACCUUCUUGUCCAUAAUGUAAAUCCGUAGAACCAUUUCGAUCAUUGCAGUUUCUUCAACUUGAUUUUACUACACAACCUCGAUCGUAUUGUUAGGCUUAAUGCUCAAAUCAAGAGUAGGUUGUACUUCUUCUUUAAUAAUAUCUUCAUCUUAGAAAUUGUCUUUUCUUCCGGCAUCUCACACGAGUCUUCUUCCUUAACGACAGGUGGAAAUCAUUGGUACAUCUUUAGGCAUUCUCAUAGAGACACCAUUUUUUGAUUUAAUCUUUGGUUUCUUCAAUUCUUUAAUCACGUCAUUAAAGCUUCUUUUACACUGUGUCUCGAUUUGUGACUUGAUUUGUGUGCUAAAUAAAUUGCAUGUUAUAAAGUGUAGAUAGUGUAUGUAGGCAUCUUAUUUUGAAUUGAAAAGCUUAGCCCCCUAAAAGACCUUGUAAUUAUAUCCUCUUCAAGUUUAUAAUAAUAUUUGCAUCCAUAAAAUUAUUUAAACUCAUAAGCAUAAAAUCAGAUCGCAAAAUAUGCUUCAUAUGGUUCCAUGAUCAAAUUUUGCAUUUGCCUCGGUCAAGUCAAGAAUAUUACAAUUGUUCCCACCAUUCUGAAACACUAAAUCUCAAUUUACAAACAGUAAAUGAAAUUUGUUUUUCUUUAGGAGUACGCAAAACUACAAACCAAUGUUCAACCUUGUCCAACCAACCAAGAAAUUUCUCAGGACGAGUGUGUGCAAAUAAGUCCGACACAUGAUAAAUAGAAGGUAUGGACAAUAGUUUGCCAUUAAUUAUCAAGUUUCCAGACAAUUUCAAAACUCUAAAUAAUGCUCAACUCUUGCAUUUGGUGUCGUUGGCGGUUGGUUGCCAUGUUUUGGACGAGGGGCGUUGGAUCUAGAACAGACAAUAGCUCGGAGCAAGUUCAUGUCGGCUGUGACAAUCAACUUGUGUCAAUUUGAUCGAAAAAGUAACUUGAAGCAAUGGCGACUUAUAGUAAGUGUGGCUGUGAUUCAUGGCGGUUUAUAGCGGAGUUGGCUGUGAUUUGGCUGGUGGUGGUUGGUGAAAGAAAUUCUAUGAAGAGUAUAAUUCUUGUUCUGUAAUUUUAAUGAAUUUUACAGAGUUAUUUAUACAAAAUAAAGACAAAGUAACUGUUGAAAGGCUUAAUAAUAUUAAAGGAAAAUAAGUAACUUCCUAAACUAUUGCACAAUAUCUUUAUAAAAUAGGAAUGAAAUAUUCCUACAUGAUAUUGGCAUUCAAGUGUAAAAAUCGUGCUGGAGAUAUUCCUUGACAAAUAGCUUUGACGUGAGCAAGCUGUGUGGAGUGAUAAACCCUUUGUUGACUUGACCGUUGAUGACUUUCCUUUUGGUAAUCUUGGUCAGCUUGCUUAACAUCCCCCCUCAAGCUGGCAAGUGACAUUUGAUGAACGCCAAGCUUGUAUCUGAAAUCGCGGAACAUGGCUUUUGACAAAGCCUUAGUAAAAACGUCUGCAAUUUGUAACGAAUAAGGGACAAACCUCGUAACCAAGGCACCAUCAGCAACCUUUUCUCUAAUGAAGUGAUAAUCUAAUUCAAUAUGCUUCGAGCGAGCAUGAACUUCGUAACCAAGGCACCAUCAGCAACCUUUUCUCUAAUGAAGUGAUAAUCUAAUUCAAUAUGCUUCGAGCGAGCAUGAAAGACUGGGUUAAUAGUCAUAUACAAGGCACUUAAAUUAUCACUUAAAAUUUGUGGAGGUUGAGCAAGAGGAAUGCCAAUUUCUCGGUACAGGUAUGUGAUCCAUGUGAGUUCUGCUGCUGUAGAAGCAAGGGCUCGGUACUCAGCUUCAGCACUGGAUCUAGAGACAGUUGGCUGUCGUUUUGAAGACCAUGAGAUGCAAUUUGCACCCAUAUAGACACAAUAUCCCGUGGUACUUCUCCGAGUGUCUGGACAGCCUCCCCAAUCAGCAUCACAAAAGGCAGUAAUAUUAAGAGAGCUUUGUUGGAGAAAUCUGAUCCCAUAAUCCAAGCUCCCUUUUAAGUACCUGAGAAUACGUUUAACAGCACGUAAAUUAGCCUCAGUGGGUGUUUGAAAAUGUUGACAUACCUUAUUGACUGCGUGAACGAUGUCCGGCCUUGUUAGAGUGAGAUAUUGGAGCCCUCCAACUAAUCGUCUAUAUUCGGUUGCAUUGACGGGCUUGUGAUCAAUGGGGUUGGCUUGUUCUUUGAUGGCCAUAGGAGUUGACAAACUAGUGCUUUCUAGCAUCUUUGCUUUGGUCAGUAAGUCUUUGGUGUAUUUGGUUUGAGAAACAUAAAUACCUCCAGAGAAAUACCGAAUCUCAAGUCCUAAGAAGAAAUGGAGCUGUCCCAAAUCCUUUAAAGCAAACUCAAUGCUUAGUUGAUGAAUAAGUUGGUCAAUUAAAAAAGUAUUGUUGCCUGUCACCACUAUAUCAUCAACAUAAAUUAGCAUUAGGAUUAAUGAGUCAUUAUUAUGAAAUAUAAAUAAGGAAGAGUCGGCUUUACUGCAUAUGAAACCCAAUUGAAGUAAAUAAUGAGAAAGCCUAUCAAACCAAGCACGGGGUGCUUGUUUAAGACCAUACAAGGACUUGUUAAGCUUACACACAUAAUCAGGAUAUAAAGGAUUAGAGAAACCAGGAGGUUGUUCCAUAAAAAUAGUUUCUUUUAAAAAACCAUGUAAAAAAGCAUUUUUAACAUCAAGUUGUCUCAUGGUCCAAUUUAAUGUUACAGCAAGAGAAAAAAUUAACCGAAUUGUGGUAGGUUUAAUCACAGGACUAAAGGUUUCUUCGAAAUCCAAACCUGGAAUUUGUGUGUAUCCUUGUGCUACAAGACGCGCCUUGUAUUUGUCUAUGGACCCAUCUUCCUUAAACUUAGUUCGAUACACCCAUUUUGAUCCCACUAUGUUUGUAUUCACUGGCCUUGGUACCAAACUCCAUGUAUUAUUCUGAUGGAGAGCAUCAAGCUCUUCUAACAUAGCUGUGCGCCAAUGAGGUUGUCGAAUGGCGGUUUUGAAGUGUUUUGGCUCUAUUGUUGUAGUAAGAGCCAUUUUAUCAACCAACUCAGGGUGAUGACGCAACUUGUGUCUAGUUAUCAUUUGAUGAGUGUUGCUUGUUUCUGGCUCUUUUGGAAUACGAAGAUCUACAAAUAUAUCAAUGCCUUUAGUUGACUGAGGAGUAUUAGUUUCUAACUCCAAAUGAGUGCUGCCAGUUCCUAUAUUGUUCUCUGACUCUUGCUCAAUUAAAGUGAUAUCAAAUUCUUCAAAUGAUGCUGAGCUAGGGCUUAAGCUGGCUUGAUUAUCUGUAGAGGCUGAAUCGGUGUGGAUGACUAUAUCAUGAAUUUCACGUGGGACUUGUUGGCUUGUGUCCAAGUCAUGCAUGUUUGAGUUCAUUGUGUUUUGAAGACCUAUAGAGUUUGGAUUUGCAUGAGCAACUUGUUGUUGGUUUACGUGAAACUCAUGCUGGGCUUGCUGAAAUGGGGAGCUAUUUUCNNNNNNNNNNNNNNNNNNNNNNNNNNNNNNNNNNNNNNNNNNNNNNNNNNNNNNNNNNNNNNNNNNNNNNNNNNNNNNNNNNNNNNNNNNNNNNNNNNNNNNNNNNNNNNNNNNNNNNNNNNNNNNNNNNNNNNNNNNNNNNNNNNNNNNNNNNNNNNNNNNNNNNNNNNNNNNNNNNNNNNNNNNNNNNNNNNNNNNNNNNNNNNNNNNNNNNNNNNNNNNNNNNNNNNNNNNNNNNNNNNNNNNNNNNNNNNNNNNNNNNNNNNNNNNNNNNNNNNNNNNNNNNNNNNNNNNNNNNNNNNNNNNNNNNNNNNNNNNNNNNNNNNNNNNNNNNNNNNNNNNNNNNNNNNNNNNNNNNNNNNNNNNNNNNNNNNNNNNNNNNNNNNNNNNNNNNNNNNNNNNNNNNNNNNNNNNNNNNNNNNNNNNNNNNNNNNNNNNNNNNNNNNNNNNNNNNNNNNNNNNNNNNNNNNNNNNNNNNNNNNNNNNNNNNNNNNNNNNNNNNNNNNNNNNNNNNNNNNNNNNNNNNNNNNNNNNNNNNNNNNNNNNNNNNNNNNNNNNNNNNNNNNNNNNNNNNNNNNNNNNNNNNNNNNNNNNNNNNNNNNNNNNNNNNNNNNNNNNNNNNNNNNNNNNNNNNNNNNNNNNNNNNNNNNNNNNNNNNNNNNNNNNNNNNNNNNNNNNNNNNNNNNNNNNNNNNNNNNNNNNNNNNNNNNNNNNNNNNNNNNNNNNNNNNNNNNNNNNNNNNNNNNNNNNNNNNNNNNNNNNNNNNNNNNNNNNNNNNNNNNNNNNNNNNNNNNNNNNNNNNNNNNNNNNNNNNNNNNNNNNNNNNNNNNNNNNNNNNNNNNNNNNNNNNNNNNNNNNNNNNNNNNNNNNNNNNNNNNNNNNNNNNNNNNNNNNNNNNNNNNNNNNNNNNNNNNNNNNNNNNNNNNNNNNNNNNNNNNNNNNNNNNNNNNNNNNNNNNNNNNNNNNNNNNNNNNNNNNNNNNNNNNNNNNNNNNNNNNNNNNNNNNNNNNNNNNNNNNNNNNNNNNNNNNNNNNNNNNNNNNNNNNNNNNNNNNNNNNNNNNNNNNNNNNNNNNNNNNNNNNNNNNNNNNNNNNNNNNNNNNNNNNNNNNNNNNNNNNNNNNNNNNNNNNNNNNNNNNNNNNNNNNNNNNNNNNNNNNNNNNNNNNNNNNNNNNNNNNNNNNNNNNNNNNNNNNNNNNNNNNNNNNNNNNNNNNNNNNNNNNNNNNNNNNNNNNNNNNNNNNNNNNNNNNNNNNNNNNNNNNNNNNNNNNNNNNNNNNNNNNNNNNNNNNNNNNNNNNNNNNNNNNNNNNNNNNNNNNNNNNNNNNNNNNNNNNNNNNNNNNNNNNNNNNNNNNNNNNNNNNNNNNNNNNNNNNNNNNNNNNNNNNNNNNNNNNNNNNNNNNNNNNNNNNNNNNNNNNNNNNNNNNNNNNNNNNNNNNNNNNNNNNNNNNNNNNNNNNNNNNNNNNNNNNNNNNNNUGUAAUCAAAAUUUAUACCAAAAAGUUUGUAAAAGGGAGUCUUCAUAUUUAAAGUGGACGAAGGUAGCUUAUUAAUAACAUAAACAGCAGUAGAAAAAGCAUCAACCCAAUAUUGUAAUGGCAUAUUUGCAUGAAAGAGCAUUGUCAAACCUGUUUCUAUAAUAUGUCGGUGUUUCCUUUCGGCAACACUAUUUUGUUCAGGAGUUGCAGGACAUGACAAUUGAUGUUGUAUUCCACAUUGACUGAGAUGACUUUGAAAUUCAUUUGAUAUGAAUUCACCUCCUCCAUCACUUUGAAAUAAUUUUAUCCUCUUGUCGAAUCGAUUUUCAACCUGUUUCUGAAACUUGAUAAAAACAUCAAAUAAAUCUGAUUUAUUUUUCAAAGGGUAUAGCCAUGUAUAACGUGUGCAGUCAUCAACAAAGAUAGCAUAAUAUCUAAAACUUUGAACAGAAGAAAUAGGAGCAGGACCCCACAAGUCGCAGUGAAUUUUAUGUAAAGGAACGCUGGAAAUUUUAUUGGAAAAAUUAAAAGGAAGUUUGCAGUUCUUUCCCAUUUGACAACUGGAACAUACAUAAUCUUUCGUAAUCCAAUUUGAAACAUCAAUAAGUUUGUUUUUAUUCAAAAACUUAAUGGACUUGAUUUGGGGGUGUCCCAUUCUUUGAUGCCAUAUGUUGUAAGGUGCUUUCCUGCCUUCAGAUAAGUAUAGGGCUGCAUGAUGUCCUUCAUCUAAAGCAUAAAGCCCUUUUGUCUUAGUUCCCUUUGCCAAGAUGUUUCCCUGAUAAUCCUUAACAACAAACUUGUUAGAUGAAAACUCAAUAAUGCAUGAAUUAUCAUGUGUGAGCUGCUCUACCGAAAGUAAAUUAUUUUUCAAGCCUGGAACCACAAGCACAUUUUUUAAAUAUAGUUUACUAAUGCCAGUGUCUAUGGAGGUGUUUCCUAUAUGUGAAAUAUUAAGACAAUCGCCAUUUCCAACAACAAUGGCAUCAUUCCCUUCAUAAGGUUUAAGUUCAGAAAUUUUACCUGGAUCAUUGACCAUAUGGGUAGUUGCUCCUGAGUCAGCAUAUCCGUCAACAUUCAAUGGCUGUAUGUUUCGGUAAAUGACAAAUUUGACAUAUGACAGUUUCUUCAUUGACUUCCUCAGCUUGUUGUUUGGAUUGAUUCUGAAUUUUCUGCCAAGGCUGUCCAGAAUUAUUUUGCCGAGGUUGCUGCCACUGUUGUCCCGAAUUUCCUUGCCAUGAUUGUUGCCCUUGUUGACUUGGAUUAUUGUUUGAUUUUUGCCAUGACUGACUUGCAUUAUUAUUCCAACUUUUUCCACCAUUGUAGUUGAUUUUUUGACCACUUGAAUCAGCCAAAUUUUGUCCUCCUGCUGCUGUAAAACCACGACCUUUUGAGUUAAAGAAACCUCCAUUUCCACGACCUUUUCCCUUGCCUCGUUGGCUAAAAAAGGCUUGAGCCAGAUUGAUUGUAUUCUUCUUUUCUUCUUCAAAAUUAAUAAGAGUUUGUUCAUGAUUUUCGAGGGCCAUGACAAACUGCUUAAAUGAGGGAUAAGGUGGUUUUGAAAGUUGAGCAAGUUUGAAGUCUUGAUACCUGUAGCCAAGACCUCUUGCAAGACCAAAGACUUUAUCUAAGUCAUUCACUGGUUUAUUUAUUGCAGCCAAACAAUCACAAAUAUGCUUGUAUUUGCGCACAUACUCUUCAACUGAUAGAGAUCCCUUUUUAAACCGAGAGAAUUACUAUAUUUACACAAUUAACCUUGGCUAGAAUUAAUUGUGCAGAUUGGAUGAUAACUAGAGAAUAGAAAUGAAGAAAAGGAAGCACACAACACCGAGAAGAGUAAUAAUUAAUGCUGCCAUUGACGAAAUGUUUUAUAUUACUCUUCUUUCUUGGUAUUUAUUUAUUUACAAUUUUUAAUGUAAAUGUACAGUUGUUGGGCUAAUAUCUUAUUUACUUUUGAACGUAUUAGAUGCCUUUUUUUUUUCUUGGUUCAUAAUAAUUUUGUAGAAAUUCCUCAAGUUUGCCUAAAUGUUUACAGAGUUAUUUAUACAAAAUAAAGACAAAGUAGCCGUUGAAAGGCUUAAUAAUAUUAAAGGAAAAUAAGUAACUUCCUAAACUAUUGCACAAUAUCUUUAUAAAAUAGGAAUGAAAUAUUCCUACAUGAUAUUGGCAUUCAAGUGUAAAAAUCGUGCUGGAGAUAUUCCUUGACAAAUAGCUUUGACGUGAGCAAGCUGUGUGGAGUGAUAAACCCUUUGUUGACUUGACCGUUGAUGACUUUCCUUUUGGUAAUCUUGGUCAGCUUGCUUAACAGUUGGUGAGUAUAAUGGUGGUCAUAUAAAUCCUUUUUCAUUUUUUUUUAAUUGUUGUAUGGAGAAAAAGAGAGAAAAGCAAAAAUUGGGCUGUCGACUACAUAACUCGCUGGGAUAUAUGUACGUUAAGGAAAAUUCUAUGAUACCGUGAUCAAAAUUACAUAUCAAUACUGUGAUAAAUAUAAAUUUUGUAAAUUACAAAUAACACUAUUAAAUGAAAUAUAGAAUAAGUAAAUUAAUAUAAGAGUUGGUGUUUUAAAACUACAAACAAAAAAACUUAUAAAAAUAAUAUAAAACUUAUAAAUCAACAUUAAACUUUGACCUAUAAAAUAGCUAAUCUAAUUUAUUUAAGUAAAAAAAAAAUCACUCAUCAAUUGAAAACAAAAAUUUACAUUGGAAACAAUUAGAAUAAGUUUUAUUAAAUUGGUUUAACUAUAAAUUCUAUAUCUCAUGUUAGGAAAUUUAUAAUUUUUUUUUCAUUUUCUAUCACAAUAUAUGUUUAUUAUAUAACUUAAUUAGUAAAAUUAUUUUUUUUAUGAGGAUCAAGCCAAAAAAAAAUAAAAUAAUUUUUUUAAAAAUUUAAAUUUGAGAAUAAGUUUUAUCUUAAUAAAAUUUCACAUGCAUCAUCACAUGUAUUAGAUAAAUCCAAAAUUAUCAUUAUUUAAUUUAGAAAUAAAGACAAUAAAUAUAUAAGGUAAUCGUUUUUAUAUUGAGUUUUUAUUUUACAUUUGCAAGUUUUUAUUUUUUAUUAACUUUUAUAUUAUUUGUUUGUUUUAUAUUUCAUUUACAAGUCUUCUAUUUCAUUUACAUAAUUUAUAUAUUAUUUGGCACUUAAUUUUGGUUUAUAGGAUUUACGUUAUAUCUAUAAGUUUAUAUUCAUUUGUUUACCAAUAAUACAUCAUUCUACCAUUCAUAUAUUAAUUAACUUAUUUUACCUUCUAUUUACAAGUCCCUUUUUUUUUACUUAAUUCAUGUUUUAUUUUACACUUAAUAUUAAUUUAUAAGUUUUAUGUUAUAUUAAUAAGUUUUGUUUUAUUUAUCAAUAAUAUAUCAAUUUACAACUCCUUUAUUAAUUUAUUUAUUUUACCUUUCAUUUACUAGUUUUAUGUUCCAUUUGCACGAUUUAUAUUUUAUUUUGCACUUAAUAUUGAUUUAUAAGUUUUAUGUUACAUGUAAAAAAAAAAAUAUUUAUCAGCAAUACACAAAUUUACCACUCCUAGUUAAUUUAUUUGUUAUACCUUCUGUUUACAAGAGUUAUGUUCUAUUUACAUAAUUUAUGUUUUGUCUUGUACUUAAUGUUGAUUUACAAGCUCUAUGUUAAAUUUGCAUAUCUAUGUUUCAUUUAAACAAUUUAUGUUUAACUACAAUAUUGAUGUUUUGAUUUUAAUCACAACAUUAUAGAAAGACCCAUAAGCUAAGUUAACUCUAUUGAUCUCCUAUCAAAUAUCGUAAAUGACAUCAGAAGUCAAGUUUAGCUCCUAUGGUAACGAGUGUGAGUAGUGAGUCUAAGGAUGGAAAAUAUCCUGCCAUAUCUAAGAUAUUAUUUAUCCAAGUGUAAAUUCAUAAUUAUCCAUGAUGGAUUCAUCCAUAUCCAUGUCUAGUUCAGAUACUCUAUAUGGAUAUAGAUUUUAUCCAUAUAGAUAUGGAUAUCCAUGGAUGUCCAUGGACAUUAAAUUUAAAUUUUUAAAUUUGAGAAUUGUGUAACAUAUUAAUAUGGUAAAAACUAAUUAACAAUGUAUUACAUCAAGAAAUACUUCUCAUUUUUUUUAUAUUUCCUAAAAUCAUUAAUUUUAAAAUUUAAUCAAAAUUAUUUUGUUUAAAAACACAAUUCUAAAAUAAAAUUACAAGCAUUAAUGUUUUGGCCGGUUGCGCUAUGGUGGGCAAUAAUAAUGGUGGUCAACUAGUGACAAAUCUCAUACCAUUUGUUGAAAAUGUACUGAGGAUCUGGUUGGUUAAUAAGAAAAUAGAGGAAAAUGAGGAAGGAUGAAGAAAAGCUUGAGCUAAAAACUAAUUCAUUACUUCAGAACUUGAUUUCUAUAUUCUUUCUAAUGACUAAUAUAUAUACUCGAUUACAUGCUAGAAUCUAUUAUAAGAUUCAUCUAGAAACUUCACACACCACACACGGCUAGCAAACAUAGAUAACUAAUUGACCACGUCAGCAUAACUAAAGUUUACUAAGCUAUUGAUUGACUACAAUGCUUAUAGUGCUCUGCAAUAUAUCAAGACUCUAUAUCACCAUCAUCAUUACUAAACUCUCUAACAUCCCCCUUCAAGCUAAAUAAGUCUAGAAGAAUAUUUAGCUUGCACCUCAGAUAAUGAAAUUGGCCAUAAUUAAGAGCUUUGGUAAGAAUUUUAGCCGUUUGAUCAUUACUGGGAACAAAGUGAAUGCUAAACUGCUUGGCUGCAACUUUUUCCUGUACAAAAUGAAUAUCAAGUUCAACAUGCCUUUUUUUUUUUUAUGAUACACUGGAUUGUUGGCCAAGGCAAUGGCACCUUAGUUGUCACACCAAAAUAAUAGGCAUAUUGGACAGCUUAAAAUGCAACUCUAAUAACAAAGCUUGUAUCCACAUGAUUUCUGUAGUGGCGAAGGCUAAAGCUCGAUAUUUUGAUUCAGUACUUGAUCUAGAAACAACAUGUUAUUUUUUGGAUAUCCAUGUCACUAGAUUGUAACCAAGAAACAAAGCAUAGACAACAACUGAUUUUCUGCCAUAUCACAGGUCCAGUCAACAUCUGUAAAACACUAAAGAUCCAUAGUACCAUGCUGAUAAAAUUCCAAUCCAAAAUGAAUGGUGCCUUUGAGAUACCUUAGCAAUCUCUUGCAAGCUUGCCAAUGUUCUUCAGAUGUAUUAGAAAGGAAUUGACUCAAUUUAUUCACAGGAAAUGCAAUCUCAGGUCGAUGAAGAGUAAUAUACUGUAAUGCCCCAACAAUGCUUUUAUAUUGUGAAGCAUUAUUAAUAGCAGACCCUGAAUUCUUUGUAAGAUGAUGAGAAAGAGUCAUAGAAGUGAAGCAAGGACUACAGUUAGCCAUCUUAUGCUUCGCUAACAAGUAUGCAAUGUACUUGGCUUGUGACAAAUGUAGACUUUGAGUUGUUUUAGAAACCUGAAUCCCCAGAAAGUAAUUUAAAUCCCCUAAGCCUGUAAGAGCAAAUGUAUGUUGCAUGUUGGAGAUAACUUGAAGUACUAAGGAAGAAUUUGAGCCAGUGAUUAGUAUAUCAUCAACAUAUACCAGAACUAACAAAAUAUCAAAACCAUGUCGUUUAUAAAACAAUGAAAAAUAUGAUCUGCAAUUAAGAAAAUGCCACUGGUUUACCAUAGAAUAUUUAAGUCUCUCAAAUCAAGCUCUUGGAGCUUAUUUGAUACCAUAAAGAGCUUUAGUAAGCUUACAAACAUGAUGUGGCUUGGCUGGAUCAAUAAAACCUUCUGGCUGAGUCAUAUACACUUCUUUUUUAAGAAAACCAUUUAAAAAAGCAUUAUGUAGAUCAAUUUGUCUAAUCAUCCAUUUUUGUAUGCCAGCUAUGCUAAGAACAAUUCUAAUUGUUGAAGCUUUCACAACAGGACUGAAUGUCUCAUUAUAAUCUACCCCUUGAGUUUAAGAAAAAUCCUUUGGCUACAAGUCUAGCCUUUAUAUCUAGAGACACUGCCAUCUGAAUUAUAUUUAAUCUUGAAUACUCAUUUGAUGCCUAUAAUCUUGAUAGGGGAAGAGGGUUGAACUAAUAUCUAGGUCUGAUUUGCUUGUAAGGAGUUAAAAAAACUAAUGUCUAGGUCUGAUUUGCUUGUGAGAAGUUAAAUUCUUCUUGCAUAGUCUUAUACCACUUUGGAUCUGCUAACACUGAACUACAGAAGUGGGUUAUGAUAGAGUAGUAAGUAGAGCUGCUAUAUAGGAUUUUUGUUUAAAAAUCCCAGCCUUAGACCUGGUAAUCAUGUGAUAACUAGAAGGUUGAGUUCAAGGAAAAAUAUGUGGUGGUGAGGGAAUAAGUAAGGACUCAUUAAAGUCAGUUUGAGAAAGUGGUAAAGGUAAAGACUCAGUCUGAUCAUUUAAUGGAGAUUAAUGAAAAGAAUGAGAAAAUUGUGAAUCAAGCAAAAUAGUAUAAGAAAUAGAAGGAGUUACCUGAGAAGUGGAAGGAACUUGUGAACUAUUUGUUGAGGAGGGCGUUAAGAAGACUCGUAUUAGUGGAGUUAAAACAGCAGUUGUGGAUUGCGAAACUAAGCUGGUUGAAUCAAAAGAACUAUGAUAAACUAAAGAAAAAUCAACCCCUUGCUAGUAACGAAAAGAAGUCUCUUCAAAGACAACAUGAUUAGACACAUAAAUUCUUCCUGAAGAGUGUAAGAAUUGGUAUCCUUUAUGAUGAGGACUCUAUCCAAUGAAAAUACAUCUUCUUAUUCUAAAUUCCAGCUUAUGUCUGUUAUAUGGUCUCAAAUAAAGAAAACAAAAGCAACCAAACACUCUUAACAAACUAUAAUAAGGUUUUUAAUGAAAGAGCUUGAAAUAAGGUGAUUCGUUUUGAAGAACAUGUGUUAGCAGCCUAUUAAUAAGAUACAUUGUUGUGUGGAAUGCAUUCCACCAAAAAGUGAGAGGAAGUUUAACUUGAGCUAGUAAAGUGAGUCCAAUAUCAACUAUAUGUCUAUGUUUCUUUUCAACUCUACCAUUUUGGUGAUAAAUGUGAGGGUAUGGAUGUCUGAAAUGUAUCCCAGAAGAUAAGAGCAGAGAAGAAAAAGAUAUGAACUCUCAUGAAAGUCUUAAAGGUUGUAAAUACCCUCAAGGCAUCUGAUUUAGCUGUUAAGGGAAAAAUCCAAGUAAACCUGUUGUAAUCAUCUAAAGUAGACAAAUAAUAGAAAUAACCUUGAGUGGAUGCAGUAGAAGAUGGCCCCCAAACAUCAGCAUACAAAAGCUAUAAAAGUUUAGUUGUUUUUAUGUUGAAAGAGUUAAAAUAUUGAAGAUGACUUUUUCCAUACUGACAUGUAUCACAAAAGCUAAGUAUUGAGAUUUUAUUUAUAUCAGCAAAUUGAUUACAAGAUUUCAAAACACAUUUAAGUGUAUGAACAGCUGGAUGUCCUAGCCUUUUGUGAAGCAAAUCUACAUUAUUGGAACUAGAAGACACUGUGAAAGCAGCAGGAGUACAACACUAAUUGUUUAUUUUGAAAUGAUCAUAAGAAAAACAAACAGACAUAGCAGGACCAAACAGACAAGCAAAACGAGACAUUGGUUUGUUUUGAGCUAAGUAAGAAAAGAAGGCUGAAUUUAAACUUUGAGAUGAGGAAGAUAGGCUGACUUUAUUAGAUGCUGCUUAAACUUAAUACAAGCCUUUGUGAGCCACCCCUUUAACUAGAGUAAUCCAUGUGUUCCUGGCCUUGAUAUACUAAACAUUAUCAACAAAUUCAACAAGAACAUUGUUAUCAAUUAAUAAUUUAGACACACUAAGCAAAUUUUUAGUUAUGUGAGGAACAUGAAGAACAUGAUGCAGUACUAGAUGUUCAUGAGUAUAAGUAUCAAACAAAACAGAUCUAGUGUGUGUGAUUUGUAGGCCUUUGUCAUCACCAAAAAGCAAUCUCCUAAACCAAUAUAACCAUGAGAGUUAAGUAAUAUACCUGAGUUGUUGGUGCCAUAAGCUGAGGCACCACUGUCUAUAUACCAGAAAUGAUCUUCUAUAACUUCAGGUGAAGGAAGAUUAAGAGCAGAAGGGUUAGCAAACCUUGCUGAAAUGUCAGAAACACCAUUCUGGCAAUUAAAAGCUGCUAGUGGAGAGAUUGAAGAACUAGCUCCAGGAUGAGAAAACAUAGAAGUAGAUCCAUAAAGGAUUUAAAUCUGGAUAUACCAAAUUUCCUUGAAAAUCAUAACCUCUUGUGCCAAACUGUCCAUUAAAACCUCUACCAAAUCCAAUAAAGGAUCUAAGCACAAAACCUCUGCUAUAGCCAUAAGUUGGCCUAUAAUUUCCUCUACCUCCUCUACCAUAGAAUGUUUUAGGCACAAAAGCUGGAUUAAACAUGCUUUUGCAUUUAUGUGCUCUAUGUCCUGGCAUAAAACAAAUCUGACAGACUAUUGAUUCAAAAUUACUUUCACUGUUAUUAGGUUGUCCUGGAUUUGUCACAUCUCUAUUAAAACCUUUUUGAUUACCAAAAUUAUUCUUAUAUUAACCUUGAUUUUCUUGAGCAAAAUUUACAGUCAGAUUAUGUACAACAUCAGAAUUAAGCUUGCUUCUUUUUUUUUUCUGUUCAAUCCUCAUCUCAUGACUCAAUAAUAAAUCAUACAAGUCAUCUAAAUUCAUACUUUCACCUCUAGCUAACAAGCUCGUAACAAGUGAAUCAUACUCCUAAGAUUCUAAUCCUAUCAUUAUGUAUAUAACUAGAUCCAUAAGCUCAACAAGUUUCCCAUCGAGAGUAUCAGCUAACCUUUUCAUUUUAGCAAAAUAUGCACUCAAAGUCAUUGAACCUUUUUUAGCAAUUUAUAAUUGCAUUUUAAUUGGCAUAAUUCGAGCUUGAGUUUGAGAAACGAACAUAUAAGUUAAUGAAUCGCACAACUCUUGUGAUAAAGCACAGCGAAUGACUGAAGAUAAAAGACUCUCUUGAAUUGAGGACAUCAUCCAACUGAGUAAUAUCUGAUAUGUUCUGAUCCAUGUUGAGAAUGCAAGAUUAUCAAUUCUUGAUCCAGAUCCAUCAUUUGAUCAGCCAGUUGCACCUGUAUUUUGAUAGAGAUAUUGAUCUGGACAUUUGUUUUCUCUAGGAUAAAACCUUAUGUUAAGACUUUUAAGCCUAAAUCACAACAAGACUCACGAAUCUUGAUGAGUAGAAACACCAAGAACACAAACGAAUCAAGAAAGCCAGAACAAAGAAGCUAUACCAGAAACAAAACAAAGACACAGACCAACAAAUUUAGAAGGAAAAUUUACUCAUUAUUAUUGAUCAAGAACUAACCCAAUCACAAGUGAUUUACAGAAGAUUAUGCACAGAUCACAAUGGAACAGAUUCUAUGCAAAAUGAUGAACAAAUGAAGACGAUAUUAGCACUAUAUCAGGCACCACUCGUUAGCCUCUGUUUUAUAUCAGUGUGUUGGGUUCGUUAUAACAGAUUAUAACGAAUCCAUGCCACGUCAGCAGAAAGUAUCAAAUAGACCCCAUCAACUGAAGUCAAUCUGCACAACAGCUCUCUACCUUUCCAGUUUCUUCAUUUAGGUCCACAUACACAUAUCUUCACACCUUCUAGUCCAUUGCCUUUGAUUGAUGUGAGAACUUGAGUUCUCCAGACAAUGAAAUUAUUUGAUCAAAUUUUAUUGGUGUGACGAAGUUAUAGGAGUUCAUAUUUUGAUUUUGAUUAUUAGAAAGCUCUGAUACCAUGUUGAAAAUGUAUUGAGGAUAUGUUUGGUUAAUAAGAAAAUAUAGGAAAAUGAAUAAGGAUGAAGAAAAGCUUGAGCUAAAAACUAAUUCAUUACUUCAGAACUUGAUUUCUAUAUUUUUUCUAAUGACUAAUAUAUAUACUCGAUUACAUGCUAGAAUCUAUUAUAAGAUUCAUCUAGAAACUUAUCACACUACACACGGCUAACAAAGAUAGAAUCUUAUAACUAACUGACUACGUCAACAUAACUAAAGUUUACAAAGAUACUGACUGACUACAAUGAUUAUCAUGCUCUGCAAUACAUCAAGACUCUAUAUCACCAUCAUCAUUACUAAACUCUCUAACAUUGAACUCAAAAUUUUUUAUCCAUGCAAUGAUAUAGAUUUCAUCAUCAAAUACUAAAUGUGGCGGCUCGAAUGCCACCGAAAAUGGUGGCGGCAACUUGACUCCACCUUCUAAGCAAUUCAAUGAAGUGCAGCACCGCCUAAAUCAACAUCAUUGACGUUCGAAGUGUUUGAUCGACAUUACGGUAUCCAGCACCAUAUGGUCGUUUGAUGCCGGUGUUAUGUAUCCACCACAAUUUUUUGUGGCACUUGUGCCAUCAGUAUUUUGUUUUGACUAACAAGUUUAUGAGUUUAGAAGUAAUAACUGAUUUUGAUAUCUUUUCGAUCAUCCGCCAAACUUCUUCUUCUCUCAGGGGUAAAAAAUUUUGCACAUUGCUAACUAGAUGAAUGGCCAUAUUUUUCUUGUCUUUCUUCAAUACUCAUUGUAGGGUGAAAGUGCCAUUUUGCCAAAUCUUUAAGCAAUUGUAAGAUAGCUUCUAUUGUGCUAGUAGGGUGUGGCCUAGUACAAAAUUGAAGGUCAUGGGUUCUUAAUAUCUCUUUAUCCAUUGUUGCUAAGGUAACUGUUAAAGUCAUGGCUGGCACCGCCCAUUUAAAUGAGCGGUGCCAUGCCAUUCAACAUGGCCCGCCAUUCUUGGUGGUGCCGUGUUGACUUAUUAAAAAAAAACCAAAAUUUUAGCUAUAUAAAGAGGGCUUCCCACCCUCAUUUUGGCAUCCCAUUGAGAGAGAAGCAAUUCAACAUUUUAGAGAGAGAGUUUAGAGAGCUUGAAACUAUAAGCUCUUGUUAUAGUGAUUUGAGAGAUUAGGUGUAUUGGGUAAUGAGAUAAAAUACCACAAUACUUGUAACUCCUUUUCACUAAUAAAAUAUUUUCCUUCUGUCUUCGCCCGUGGACGUAGGCUAAAAGCCUAAUCAUGUAAUUUCUAGUGUUAUUUGUAUGAUUUUGUGUCUCAUUAUUUCUAAAUUUCACUUUAGUUGUGUGUCUGUUUCACCCAUCAAUUUCCCAACAAUAACCACUAGGGUUGGACAAAACCAAGAUGAAUAAGAGGGCCAUAUUUUUUAGAUAGUUACCAAAAUGACACGAGACUUUGAGAAAUAAAACUGGUGUAAGUUGAUGAUAAAGGGGAGCCCUAACGAAAUUGAAAACAACUUUUAGUUUUUUUUUAAAAACGAAUUGUUAACAAUCUACAGAUAUAUAUACUCUCUGAAACCUAAUGGGAUUCUAGAUACAUGUAGUAAAACACUAAAACUCUAGAUACAGGUACGUAAAAUCUACUUUUUUCUUUUGAUGUUUUUACCCUAGAUACAUGAGUUCGAAAAAUAGUUGACGUAGCGAUCGUACUAGUGAACGUUGAAAAAAUGAGCAGAAAAUGAUAAAAUUAGACAUAAAGGAGUUUUAUCGUUUUUCGUUUAUAUAAUUACAUUUAUUCGUUUAUAGGUUGGGAGAACGACUUUCGAGUUACUAAUAAAGGUCUUUGUCAUGUGACUUACCAAGCAAAUAACUUAUUAAAAUGGCAAUUAUUGAUCACUUAAUUUAACUAGUCGAGCUUCGUGGUGAUGCAGGAAGCUGGUCGUCAAGCUGAUCUCAUAGGCUGAGUACAAUCGAAGAAAAUGAAUAAUAUUAUUAGAGGUUAUUUCUGUACGUGUAUAUAUAUUUUUGUCAUUAGAGAGAACAAUAGAUGAAAUAUAUAUAUAUAUAUAUAAGCUUAGAAUAUUAUUCACAUAGACAUCAUUAUUCGUUACACAUAACUAAGAAAACAAAGCCUUGUCCAUCCAAGGAGGUGCCUUAACUAAUUUACAUACUCAUGGUCCUUAGCCAGAAGGAAAAGAUAAUUCUUCUUAUGCACCGCAAUUCCGGGCAGAACGUCAAAGUCCAAGUCUUGGUUCUUCAUUCCAGGCGGCAUUUCCCAAUCAAAUUUGUAAAGAAGAUUGGCAAGUGCAAGUUCCACAUUUGCAGUUCCCAAAUGCAUUCCAGGACAGAUUCUUCUGCCGGCACCAAAUGGUAUAAGCUCAAAGUUUUGCCCUUUAAAGUCAAUAGAACGAUCAAUAAAUCUCUCAGGAUUAAAUUCCUCAGGAUUUUCCCAAGCUUCGGGAUCUCUUCCUAUCGCCCAUGCAUUUACGUAAACGAGUGUUUUAGCUGGAAUUUCAUACCCGUCUAUUGUGCACUUUUCGAUUGUUUCUUUGGGGACUAGUAAGGGAACUGGCGGUUGCAAUCUCAUAGUCUCUUUCACUACAGCUUUUUGAUAAUGUAGUUCUUGAACAUCAUCUUCAUCUACAAAGCUUUUUUUGCCGCCAACCAAAGAUCUAAUUUCUUCUUGAACCUUUUUCAUUACUCUAGGAUGCUUCAUUAGGUAGGUCAUGACCCAAACCAGAGUCGCAGCGCUCGUAUCUGUUCCAGCAACGAAUAUGUUCUGCAAAGCAAACAACAUAUAUAUUUGUGUGUGUGUAUAAAUAUGUAUAUGUAUAUAUAUAAAUUAUUUAAAGCAACAAAAUUAUAUUAGAUUAGUUAUACAGGUAACUAUUUAUAAUAGACUUUUUGUUAAUUACGUACCAUGAGCACUGCUUUGAUGUGAUCCAAAGUUAGGUCAACUUUGAAUCCAUGAUCUUUUCGAAUUUGAAGUAAAACAUCAACUAAAUCCUCCUGCCGCACCUUUGCUUUUGUUCUUUUUGGAUCUAAAUGCUCGUCGAUGAGUUCUUGAUAGAAUCUAUCAGAUUCUUGGAAGUUAUUUUCCAGGCGACGAAUCAUUCCUGUGAGUUUAUCAAUCCAGCCCAUAAAAGGAAAAUAAUCCGUAACGAAAAAGCCUAUAGACAAGGCUUGAAUUUCAUUAAGCAGUGUAUGGAAUCUGCUUCUUUCAGUUAUUGUUUCACUUUCAUCACCAGACCUCUUGCCAAAACCAAGUCUACAAAUGAUAUUGCAAGAAAGAGACAUCAUUAUCUCACUUAAGUUGACUUGUUUAGAAGCAGCAGCUGAUUUUGAUAUGGAUUCAAUCAUUCUUGAAACUUCAUCUUCUCUAAUAGGUCGAAAAUUUUGUGCUCUAUUAGAGUUAAAGAGAUGAAUGACACAUAUUUUUCUAAUCUCUCUCCAAUACUCACCAUAGGGUGAAAAUACCACGUCCAAGCCAUUAUAAGAUAGCUUUUGUGUCGCUACCAGAGCUGGCCUACUAGAGAAUUGAAGAUCAUGGCUUUUUAAAGUCUCUUUAGCCAUUUUUGCUGAGGAAACAACUAGGGUUGGCACAAAACCCAGACGCAAUGACAUGAGAGGGCCAUAUUUUUUAGAUAGUUCCCAAAAUGACACAUGAGGCUUCGAGACGUCAAACUGGUGUAAGUUACCUAUAAAGGGAAGACCCUGGGGGCCUGGUGGUAAUUUAAUCUUUUUCUGAUGAUAAGUGUUUACGGAAAACAAGAAGAGGCAGAUUGGGAGAGAAAGAAGGAUGAUGAUGACAAGUAAAUCCAUUAUUGCUUAUGCUCCCUACUGCAAUGACUGAACCUCGAUCUAUAAAUAAGGAAACAAAAUGCAGUUUAGUAACAUCAUUAGAGGACUCUCUUUGUAUUUUGUGCUCUUGUCAAGUCCUUAUCUUGUGAUUUUGCUUAAGGAAACAGAUUUGACAACUUUCAUAAAAGUCAACAAUGAUAAAAAUUUCCAUAAUGAAAUUUCGUUUUCAGCAGAUCAUGUAUACCAAUUCUUGCGAGUUUUGUAGAACGAAACUUAUCAGAAUCCUAGGUGUGAUAACGUUGGUAAAAAGUCAGCAACAAUCAAAAUUUCAAUAAUAAAAUUUCUUUUUUAGCUAUUUACCAAUUCUUGUGAGUUCUACAAAACGAAAAAGAUUCGAUAACUUUGAUUAUAAGUCAACAAGAAUUGAUUAAAUGGCUCUACAAAAGAGGUUUAGAUACAUAUCCCGAGAAAAAAAUCUAUGAAAUAGAUAAUUUUAUUGAAAAAACGUUGAUUAGAUUAUUGAGAUUACAACCCUACUUAUGUUAGACUAUAAUCAAUCCUAACCACCUCCCCCUCUCCCCCCCCAACACCACAAACAAAAAAAUCCAAUUAAUUAAAAAAAUAGGUAAUUUAAUUCUUUUUACAAUUUUUUUUUGGACAUACAUGAGUUUCCACGAAAAUUAAUAUAUUCUCUUUUUAUUUCCAUUUUAUUUUUAGGGUUAAAUUGGUAAUUUAUUUUUUUAAUUAAUUUCAAAAAAAGAAAUAUUACUAUAAGAGGGUAAUAUUGUAAAAGCCAAUAAAAAGAAACAAAAAGUAAUGAUGGUGGAAAUGUCCCGAUGUAUUUUUAAAAAUACAUAGACUAAACAAGCACUAACGUCAAAAUAUAAGGAUUAAAGCAGUUUUUACCCUAUAAAAUUAUAUAUAUUUUUAUAAUACUAGAUAGAGAACAAAAAUAAUUGUUUCCCAAUCUCAUCUUGAUCUCAAAUGAAAACUAGUGGUAAAAAGUCACUAUCUUCUACAAUAGUGUCUUUUUUUAAAUUAAAAAAAAAAAGGUAAACCUGGUGAGUACAAGGGAAGCUUUAUUUAUUAAAAAGGUUAGGGGGAUAUAAUAAGCCUUAAUCAUUAUGCAGUGCAUAAUGCUAAUAAAAAAAAUGCGCUAGAGCAUUACAAUAAAAUCAAAGAAAUGCGUGAUAAAGCCAACACACAAAGCUUACAAGAAUUAAUGAAACCUAUAAACAGGGAGACUAUUAUUUUAUAAUACUGCCAUGUCAUAUGGCACAUUAUCCUUUUAUUAGAUCACUAAGGUCAUCCUAUAAAAAUAAUGAUUAAUUUAUUGAGGAAACAGAAACUUCAAGAUUGAUAAAAGAUAGAAAAAUACAAGUUUUUGAAUGUUUGAAAUUUUAUAGACAAAAGUCUCAAUAAAAAAACUAAGAUUUUAUGGUCCUUCUAUACUAAUUCUAAAUAACUUGAAUUUUACAAAAAUUAUUAAAUAAACUUGGAUAUUAUUAUAUAAUAAAAUUCUACUAACAGAAAUAAGGAAACAAAAUAAAUAGUACUCAAAUCCAACUCUUGAGAUAGCAAGCUUCUUCCUUGAGAUCUUAUCAAUUUUUUGACUAAAUUCAUAACUAAGCUAGCUUUCGGAUAUGAAUAGAAGAGUUAGGCUCAUCAAAAGCAAGAUAAUGACAAAGAUUUUUACAAUUUUUCUUUCAUCAAUUUCUUUAAAUUUCAUGAAUGUUUCGUGGUACUAAUGAUGUAAAAGUUCUUCUUAUCCUACUACCACAAUGAAAGCUGUGUUCCAAGUUUUUCAAACUACACCUAUAAUAAAUAAAAUUAAAGAGUCAAGUCAAGGCUUGGGUCACGUAAUCAAGUAAUUUUUAAAUGGUUACGUAAAUUGGUAAUAACUGAUAAACAAUUUUUUUUUUAACUGCCGAUAUUUGUUAUUUACGCAAAUAUAUAUGUUUUGCGCGGCUGAUUUAGGAACCCCUGCAAAGUGGUGGCAAGGAAUCAAUAAUCUAAGUUUCAAAUUUCCGCAGCAAAACACAUUUUCUUUUUUUUUUAAUUGAUUAUAAAUAUAAUCAAUAAUCUACAGAAUACAAGAACGAAACUUCUUCUCUCUCUCUACAACUCUCUUUCUCUACUCGAUGACCUCUGUUAAUUAGUCAUGAUGAUAUUUACAAACACAAGCAUAGAAAAACAACACAAAAAUCAAAGUAAAUGUAGGCACACAAUAAUUGGAGUAUUUGUUUUAAACUUAUUGUCAUGUUUUUCCCUAAAAGAUACAAUAAAGUAACAUUUUUUUAAUAUAAAAUUUAUUUAUUUAUCGUUUAUUUUAAGCAUCCAUUAAAUGACCUAAUAUAUAAAGUAUAUAAUUUAUAUAUUGAGCAUAUAAUGUCAAUAUUAGAAUAUAUAAAUGAUAAUUUUUUUAUGAAUUAAAGAUUGUUCACAGUAAUUAUUAAAAUAGAUAUUUCGUUGUGUAAUUCUAUAUCUUUUCUAUUUUUUUUUAUGAUGAUUUUAUCUUGAUCGCGGAAGUAGAGAUUCCAAGUUAAUUCAAUGCCAAUAUAAUGGUUAUAUAAAUGAUUCCAACAAUGAGACCUAACGAUCAUUUCCUUUGACAUCCUUAUGAAAAAAACCUCUAUUCCAAUCUGAAAUAUUUAAAAGCUAAAGUUUUCAUAAAAUGUACAGUGAGGACCAUUAUCUAAUAAAUCAUGUUCAUACAUACAAAUACAAGCAGAGAAAAACAAAAUAAAUAAAUAAAUGUGAGCACACAAUAGUUGAAGUAUUUAUUUUAAACUUAUUGUUAUGUUAGUCCCUAAAGGCAUGCAAUAAAGUAACAUUUUUUCAAUAUAAUAAAAUUUAUUUAUUCAUUGUUUAUUUUAAACAUACAUUAUAAAUGUGGACCAUUAACGAAUAAGUCAUGUUCAUGCUUACACAAGCAUGGAAAUAAAUAAAUGUGAGCACACAAUAAUUGGAGUAUUUAUUUUAAAUUUAUUGUUGUGUUGUCCCUAAAAGCAUGCAAUAAAAUAAUAUUUUUUAUUAUAAUAAUAUUUAUUUAUUCAUUAUUUAUUUUGAACAAACAUUAUUAGACCUAAUUUAUAAAGUAUGUAAUUUAUUUAUUGAGCAUAUAUUGUCAAUCUUGUAAGAUAUAAAUCACAAGUUCUUUAUGAAUAAAACAUUGUUCACAUGUCAUUAAUGAAAUGGACAUUUCAUCAUUUACGUAAUUUUGUAUCUUUUCUAUUUCUCUAGUGCCUAAUUUAUCUUGCUCACUGAAGUGAAGAUUUAAAGUAGAAAAGUUAGUUUGUUGUCAAUAUAAUGGUCAUAUAUAUGAUGCCAACAAUGAAACUUAACAAUCAUUCCCUUUAGCAUCCUUAUAGAAAACCUCAAUAAUAAACUGAAAGAUCUAGAAACUCAAGUGUUCAUAAAAUAUGGAGUGAGGACCAUUAACGAAUAAGUCGUGUUCACACUUACCAACUCAAGCAUAGAAGCACAAGCACAAAUAUUGAAAUAAAUGUGAGCACAGAUUAGAGAUCUAUGAGGACUUCUCUUUAAUAUCUGUAACCGCUGCUUGAAAUCGCUUUAGCGCUGCAACUAUUUGCUACUUUCUUGAAAUCCCAUCUUCAGUGGCACAUCAAUCUUCAAACCCGACUAAUCAUUGCAUCAUUUCAAACCAACUUAUGUAACCAAGAAGAGGAAGAUCAAUUCAAACCCGCUAACUAAUAUUAUGUUUGUGUCGAAUUGACAGGUCUUGUCACAAAUUUUCACCCGACAAGCUAGGGGCCUAUUUGAUAUAAGUAAAUAAAAUCUUUCUUUCCACAAGAAAUUGGGGUAAAAUCGAUUAUCCCGAUGUUAUUACCCCAAUUUAUAAAUCUUGAUUUUCAUAUUAAACCAUUCAAAGUACAUUUAAAAAAUAAAAUAAAGUAAAAUAAAACCAUACAUAGUACAAAAAGGAGGGAGAGUUUAUUGUUUAUUAUUAUUUUUGAAAUAAUUUAUUGAAGCCCACCUGCUUCUUUCUUUGUCAAGGAUUAGUUUAUUAUUUUGGGAUAAAUACUCAUGUAAUCCAUAUAUUUUGAGCUAAGUAUAUACAAAAAAUGUUUUAAGACAUCUUUACUGUUAAAUAUAUUUCACUUAUAUCUUUACUCUCUUUUAUUUUACAAUAAUAUCCUUAGAACAGUGUUAUUGGGGAUAUUAAUGAAAAUAAAAAAGUAAUUUAUCAAAUUAACCUUAAAUGUAAAAUAAGAAUUUGCAUAAAUUUUAUAAUUAUUAUUUUACUUUUAGAAUUAAUUUGGUAAAGUAAUUUUUUAUAAAAUAAUUAUGAAUAAGAUUGUUAUAAGGAUAUCAUACAUUACUUUUAAGUUGGCUAAUAUUAAGUUAUUUUUAAAUAAUUAUUAGUAAGUUUAUUGCACAAGUAUAAAAAAUACUAUUUCUUUGAUCACUACAAGGAAAAUGAAAUUUUAUAAUAAAACUUUUAGUUACUAAAGAUAAAAAAUUAUUCUCCUUAUAUUCUUUACGAUGCAAAAAUAAAUAUCAUAUGUCAAUCCCAAAAGUACGUCAAUUAGGUUCUAGCGACCAAAAUUAUUUUCAUCAUGUAAAUUGUAUAUUUUUGUGAUUUAACUGUUACCCCAAAUUUAAGUUAAAUGCAUCAUAAAUUGUAUUGAAAUUUGUCAAUUUAGAGGUUUAAAAAUGUCAUCAGUGACUCUAUAUCUUUGUCGUUGAAGUUUACGUAUUGCAACAAUAUAUUAUUGUCUCUAGUUAUUGUAAUUUGUGACAAUCUUUAUAGAUACAUUUCGUAAUUAAUUUAGUCUCAAGUUUGUUUUAAAACCAACGUAUUUUUUUAUUUCGCAACUAAUUACAUUGUAUUGAAAAAGUUUAGGUGACUAAUCUCUCUCAUCAUUAAAAGAAAGCAUUUACGAUUACAAUAUUUAGUCAUAUAAAUUAAAAUCUUAUGACAAAAAAAAUUGUAUCAAAAAAAUGUUAUUCUAUGACUAUUUAUUUGCUGCAAAGUAUUAGAGUAAUAUAAUCUCAUAUGAAUUUAUUUAUUAUUUCACGAUUUUUUAUAUCGUACUAAAAAAGUUCAAGUAAAUAGUUUUGCUCCUUGUGACAAGCCGUUAUUCGCAGCUGGAGCAUGUAGUCAUAAAUCCAACAAUUAAUGACAAAAGAACUUCAAGUGAAAAAUGUUAUUAACAUAAGUAUAAUUCAUCACAAAGAAAUCAAAAAUAUAAAAAGUAUAAAAAUCAAUAAUCUAAAAAUAACAUUCCAUUAUAAAAGAAAAACAAAACUAACAUUACACGGAGGAAAAUCGUUGCUGGUGUCAUGAACGCUUCAACUUCGUUAAGUUUGUUCUUGUUCCUUAGUUUGCUGAGACAUACUGCAGUAAAUGAUGACUUCGAACACUUGUCAUUUGCUUCACAAAAUUAAAGAAUUUUCCCAGAAUUGAAAAGUAAAAUCAUCUCUAACAAAGUUUGAAAAAUUUCUCCAAACUCACUAACUUGGCUUCAAUUUCCUUCACCGAUUAUAUUCUUUGUUUUUCUUCUAUUAGUUUCUCUUAGGUAUUUUAUCAACCAAUUGAUCUGCAUAAAAAUAUUAAAAGAAUGGAACAUAGAAUUUCGAUUCCUAAUUUCGCCAAACACCCAAAAAAAAAAAAAUCUGAAUUUCACUUAAUCUAAUCACAACUCUUAAUCUAAUCACAACUAAAGUAAUCAAAAUUAAAUUAACUGAGUUGAAAAUGCAUACCAUCUUCUCAUUGUUAUCAACCUGCACUUGGUGCAGGUCUGUUAAUCUCUAUAUACACAUAAGCCACUCACAGUCACUUGGUGAAUUUCUCAAAAAGCAAAUAUGGCAGUGAUACUCAAAGACAUUUUCCGAAUAACUGCUUCCAAAUUGGUGACCAAUAAGAUCCAAAUCUUCACAAAAAGAAGUAUCAAAACUGCUACUUCUGAUGUUCAAAUCAUUUCCAUCGAAGCAAUCAAAGCUUCAUCUCCUACACCGAAACAACUCAGAGCCUAUAAACUUUCAUUGCCUGCUCAAUUGUGUUCUAAACUUUACAUGCCCAUUGUUUCCUUCUACUCAGCCAAUUGCAAACACCAAGAUUUCCGGAAAAAUUCCGAUUUGUUGAAGCAAUCUCUCGCAAAAACGUUAACCCAUUGAUAGCUUUUUAGUCGACUGUAAUGAUCAUGGGGCUGCAUUUAUUGAAGCUAAUGUUGGCUGUCAUAUAUCAAAGUUUCUUCAACCGCCAGAUAGGGAGCUGCUACAACAAUUAAUCCCACCUUGUCCCCAAUUAUCGAAUUUAGAGAUUUCUGAAAGAGCACUUUUGGCUGUCCAAGUAAACUUGCUCAGCAGUGGUGAAAUGGCAAUUGGUGUUUUUUUCCGAGUGGAGUGGCCGAUGGUUCAGCAAUCUUCGACUUGAUGAAAACGUGGGGUGCUCGUGGGGUGAUUAAUGAUAAUGAUAAUAUUUGCAAUAACAAUUUAGUUUUAGAUUGCACCUUUGUUUCCACCGGUAAAGUUUUCGCAGCAGUAUCAAAUCCCAAGCCCACAAUCUUCCCGCAAUAUUGUGUUCGAAAGAUUAUUGUUUGAUGGCAAGAAGAUAGCACAUCUAAAGGAGAAGGUGAAUAAAGAAUUAGUGGGUAAUAAUUUUGAUGACGGGUUACAAGCAACGGGUUUCGGGGUUGUUUCAGCACUUACUUGGGGUGCCUUCAUUGCUGUAGCUCGUGAAAGAAAGAGGGAAAUUGAUAAGAAGUUGUAUUAUUAUGCAGUGUAUUAUACUAUGAAUUUGCGUAACAAGAUGAAUCCACCAAUAUUUAGUACAAGAAGUGGUAAAACCAAAGAGAAGGGGAAGAGAUGUGAUGAAUAGUAUUGAGUAUUUAGGUUUCAUUAAGGAUUUGUAUGAAGCAUGGGAAGAUUCAAGGUCAUUUCCUUUAAUAGUGUGGUUGGAUUGCCUUAUUAUGAAGUUGAUUUUGGUUGGGGGAAGCCUGUUUGGUUUAGUCUCGGGCCCUUAUCGUUUCCUGAUCUUGCUAUUUUGACAAACUCAAGUGACGGUGAAGGAAUAGAAUCAUAGGCGGUAAUGUCUAAGGAGGACACGGACAAAUUUGAACCAGAAACUAGCAUCAUGGCUUAUGCUUCCCCUAACCCCAGCAUAUUUAUAAGGAAAUAGGCAGCUAAUUGUCUUUCUCUUGCUUUGAAUAAAAAGAAUUGUCUUCUAAUUAGAAUAAUAAUAUGCUUACAAAAUUGAGAUUAUUGUACAAUGACUGUAUCUUAUUAUUAUCAUACUUCUUUUUAAAUAAAAUCAUGUUAUGUAUGCACACUUUUGAUCAAUGAAAAAC
This 84351-nucleotide long non-coding RNA is filed under the name Citrus sinensis (sweet orange). RNAcentral describes it as "long non-coding RNA (CSIN_LNC000052)". Lineage: Eukaryota; Viridiplantae; Streptophyta; Magnoliopsida; Sapindales; Rutaceae. The record is from RNAcentral.